Molecule: long non-coding RNA, 58230 nt
Filed under: Ananas comosus (pineapple)
Lineage: Eukaryota; Viridiplantae; Streptophyta; Magnoliopsida; Poales; Bromeliaceae
Description: long non-coding RNA (ACOM_LNC017490)
Source: RNAcentral
UUUUUGCUUCUGCCUUUGGCUGUAGUUGUUUUUAUUAGAAUAUUUAGCAAGCAAACACCUCUGAAAUUUCAGGUAAAUUAAAAUAUAUUGAGACUGCCUCACCUAUAGUUAAUCUAAAAAUGUCCCUUGAACGGUAAAAUUUGAGUUAAUCUUUUGCAUUUUGACUUCAAAAUUUGAUUGCGUCAUUUAUCUUUACAGAUUUGUUAGUAUCCUUAAUUGCAUCAUUUAUCUUUACAUAUUUAGUUAAUAUCCUUAAUUGCAUUAUUUAUCUUUACAGAUUUAGUUAGUAUCCUUAAUUGCAAAUCUUGCAUCUACAAACUUAUAAUUAAAAUAAGUAAUUAACUUAAAUUUUAAAGUUACAGAGCACUGUUGACUCACUCAAAUCAAAUAAAUUGAAAGUUAGAUAGUAAAAUCAAAAUUUUAAAAGAUUAUGCAGUUAAUUCAAAAUGAUCCAUAGUUAAGGUGAUAAAUUAUGUACGUUCUUACCUAGUUCUUAUUACUAUAGUAUGGUAUUUGCAUUGGCCAAAUUAAUUCCUUGGGCAUGGAUGUAUUGUUUUUGUUAAUUCGAUGUGUUGUUAGUAUUCUCUAUAAGAAAACAAAAAGAAAAAAAAAUUUUAAAUAGGAACAUUUAGUUUUAAACACUGAUCAAUUUAAUGAUCCGAGGAUCCAAAUGACAAAACCCAAAUGGACCAAAGUCGGUUGGUAUUUAAAAAUUCAAUUAUUAGUAGUUUAGAUGAACCUAUUUGGUUCGUGAUUACAAUAGAAAUGGAUAAUAGAAUUAGAUUAUAUUAAUUGGAAAAUUAGAUCAUAUUAACUGGAAAUGAAGUGGCUUAUCAUCUAAAAAUAUUUGAUUUAUUAGUAGAAUGAAACUCAAAAUGGACAAUUGGGAUAAAUAGGAUUUUGAAAGAAAAUUUUGGUUAAGUUGAGGAGAGUAACAAAAGGGAGAGGAGACGGGGAGAAGUUUGUGAGAAAGAGUUUUGAGAGAUUUAGUCUGGAAUAGGCCGAUCUAGAAUUCAAAAUCGAAUUGGGUCACAAAUUAAUUAAGCUGCUCCCAUUCUGGAGUGGAAUGGAAAUUAAAAUCUAAUUUUUGUAAUACAAACAACAACUAUCAUAAUCAAUAAAUCUUAUUCUGAUUUUAGAGUCCAAACGUGGUGAACUAAAUAAAAUAUUCAAAAAAAAUAAUAGUAACAGCCUUAAAUUUUACUGAUCUUUUCACUUCCUACACUAUACUAUUUUUCUUUUUCUAGAGCAUCACUCAUCUAUUUAUUAUUUUUCUUGUUAAUUCCUAUUCUAUAAGCAAGAAACCUAUACUUGUAUAUAAAAGCUAUUAAAAAAUACUUGUUAAAAGUGGCGAAAUAUAUAUUCAACUCAUUUUGACACGAAGAAUAAUAAAAUACAUAAAAAUAACAAAAAAAUUGAAAAUAACUUAAUAGAAAUUUUUAACAAGUCUCUCAGUAAAGUUAUUAGAUUUUGUUUAAAACAAUAAAUUUGUUAACAACGAUAUAGAGAUUGUCACGCUCUGGAUUACACGUUUUUCUCGGCACGCCAACAGACCCGUCAUAUACAUAGAAAUUUCUCCUGUAUACGAAGUGAUAGCUAUACCUGUAAACAAAACCAAGCUACAACCAUAAGGCAGAGAUCUGCAAAACUGAAAAUAGUAUCUAUAUGAAAACCUCGAAGGGUUUCAGUACAUACAAAAUUGUGACGACCGAACUUCCCAGGGGGUCACCCAUCCAAGGACUACUCCCGUCCUAGCACGCUUAACUCUCUUAACCUCUUGGGCCUUGUCACCACCCAAAAUGCUUAAGCCGGGUUAAGAGUUUAGCCCUAUUAUAUCUCAUAUAUAGGACUAUCUGGGGUCUCACAAUCUCCCCUCCUUUAAGCCCUGACGUUCUCGUCAGGCUCAGACUCACAAGUACCAGGCAAUGUGAGACUCGUCUCGCUAGCCCGUCAUCCAGACCCUGGCUCAGCCGAGACUCAUCUCACACUUCCGGCUGGUAAUUGGCUCUCGAUCAACCAUAUAUUGACGACCUCAACCUUCCAGUGGGGGUUCACCAUCCACUAUAGGCCUUCACUCCCGCUCCUAGCACGUUAACUCUUUAACUUUUGGGCCUUUGUCACCCACCCAAAAUGCUUAAGCCGCGUGUUAAGAGUUGUAGCCCUAAUUUAUAUCUACAUACUAUAGGACUAUCUGGCGGUCUCACACACAAACAAAAAAACAAAAUGACCGUUUUCCGCAACUCUCUUCGCUGCUUCAAAAUCGCUUUUAAAAUCGGGCCUCCGCGUUCGUGACAGCAAUUAAAAUCCGGUAUCAGAAGUGAAACAAGCUACACACUGGCAUUACAAGUUUUUCUAACAAUCAUCGACACAUCUGGUCCUAGGUUGGACCAUAGGCACGACUAAGUACUAUAGGCCACGUGCAGCUGCCGGUGUUUGGGUUUGAAUUCCGGUGGUCGCUAUGUCCAGUCGUUGGGGUCUGUUGACGGCCAAGCCCUCCGGCUGUUUCUGUUCAGAUGGCUCCGGUAAGGCGCCCCCUUCGUCCGGGGCGUCGCCGUGGUGAGCGUCGCUGCGGAAUUUACGCCUGCCGCGGGCCGUACUCGUGCUCUUCCGAGUGGCCCGGUGAGUUGGGGCAGCAGUUAGGGCGCCGGAGCCGUGAGCCGCCCCGUCCACGCUGGUACUUCGGACUCGAGCCAGCUCGAGGCCCAGUAGCUUAAUUGAGGGGUCAGGCUGGAGCGCCCCUCCUCUGGUUUGUUUCAGCAGUUCUUCAGCAGCAGGCGCGAUGCGGGCGACUGCCUACCCCGGAGCCGAUUUUGAAAAGCAUUUUGAAAAGCAGAGUGCGAAAAGACGUGUCAAUUUUUUUUUUUUUUCUUCCACCGGGCCCACGUUGACGUUACAGGCGGCCCGGCCACCAUACAGUUUCCUCUGAUCCACCUGGGCAGCGCUCUCCUUUUGUUUUGCACGGCCGCCCGUACCAAUCGGAACAACGGAUCACAACCAGAAACCUACAUUUUACCAAUCAACAUACCAAGUAUGAUAUGCAAUAUCCCAUACGAGUAACAAUCUUUAGAAUGAUGCAUGGCCUCUAAGUCACUCCUAUAGGACCGCUCUGAUAUGCAUGCACAAAUACAACAGGACAUCCUAUUAAAAGGUUGCUUUCCACACACGGAGCAUUUUAUUUUCUUUAAACUCUUAAUUCAAUCAUUCAUAAAAACCUUUCGAAAAAUCCUUUUUUUAAAACUGUUUCCCACACCCUGGAAACUUAUUUUGUAAGAACGACUACCUCGAGGGGUUAGAAAACCCGAUGCAAUUAACCGUACAAGAAAACCAAACUCCACGGAACCCAAACCACCGAUCGCAAAACUCCCAAUCUUCCAUUACAAUACGAUGGAAACCAAACACCAGCAGUUCAAUCAUUGCAAGCAUAAUAGAUCAGCAACAUGAGACCAUUAUUAAGGGAAAACUACUAAAGGUGCGGAAAGAACAUAAAUUCCAGGGUGAACGGUCGCUACUGCGUUAGCUAGAUCGUCUCUCGUUCGAGCCCAAAAACAACUGUUCUCGUCUCCUGUCACCUUGGGGGAAGGGGGUGAGAAAUCCUCCGCAACCAUGGUUUUUCUCAGUGGGUACGACAGAGCCACGAAGGCAAGUGUUAAUUCACCCGGAAACCAAGGAGCAUAGAUAAACGAGUAUAUAUAUAAGCUGUAUGAAAUAGAACUACGAGUAGCACAACAGAUAAAAUUAGGAAGCCAAUAAGAUGAACCUGGCUACUGUAUUAGAAAAUAAUGCAAAGAAUGCCUCAAUGUACUUGAACCAGAAACUGUACCCAAACCUGCGCUGGCUGCUAUGUCCUCGCUCUCUCCGCAGCACCUCCACAGCCAUAUCUUGUCACAUAACUCUGACGGACCCUGAUGCCAUCCGCCCGCAGGCCGGACCGACUUCAUCCGGAUAAGUACACCUCCGCAUCACGGUGGCCAAACGACUCCGUCUGUCAUGAAUACCCCAAGUGCCGAGUGACUAAGUCAAUGCUGAUAUGCUCAAGCAAAACCGGGCUAAAGCCGGGUGGCACUAGGCGAAAGCCACACAACCGAGGGACUUACAAUGCCAAACUGAAAUGAGAAGCAGUUAGGGGUACAACGGCCCGAACUGGAGUACCCGAUGGCCUUUUAGGCGCGGGGUACAAUGCCGACCUCGAAUCAACCUAGCAAUCGCAAACACACGACAAAAGAGAUCGUAUGUGUUGCCCCAUGGACCCAAGUGUCUACAAGAGACUACUGAAAUACAUAAGUAACCUUGGCUUUACAUGUCUAUCAACUACUAACAAUAUGCAAUCAAAGAGGUACGAUAUACGAAAGCAUAAGCAAACAAUGACAAUGUAGGAUAAAUCGGCGAAUUACGAAAACAAUGAGAAGAAGUGAACAACGCUCUUCACGUACUUACCAGCUCGGAAGCAGCCCCUGUCGACUGUCGCGUCUGGAACACACGGGUAGACACAAGUCUACCGGACCAUAAGAAGAUGCCACCAAGUCAGUAUCCAACCACUACCAAAGCACGGAGACUCACAGAACCCCCACACAGGGAAUCCCGUAAUCGACUUUUCCACAACAACCGCAUUACCUGGUAAAGCCACCGGACAGUCUCCCGAAAAACCACACCGGGACGCCGAUCGGACCCCACUAAGUGAUCACCGAACACACCGACUCGUACCACACGGAUCACCUGCCCAAAAACAUCCCAGAUUUGGAUGCCUUGGGCAGCGAGACACAAGGUCAACAACAAUUACGAUCAGUCGCCGGAUGAAUCGUUUACGGAUCCGGUUCCCGGAAGUUUAUUUCCAGACACCGCAGAGCCCUUCCGUCGCUAACCUAUCGUCAAUGAUACCCAUAAAAUGACGAUGGUGACCAGCCAACAAGGCUCAGCGACAAAACACGAAGCCAAUCCAAAAAACACCGUCGGAAAGGCAUCCCGACCGAAACCUGCGUUCUAUUCGGCGAAUUUCGCCGAAAAAACGCCAGACCGAAAUCGAUCUACGAUUUUCCGGACAAGCUAACGGGGACCGAUGGGAACGCAUCAGUUCCAGCGUCAAUUACAAACUCGUAUUACACGCCGUCCACAGAGCCACACAUAUGCACAAUUGCAUAAAAGCCCGUUAAUUAUCAUAAUAAUAUCAUUUUUUUAUGUAAUUAGUAGCCGAUUCAAGGUGCUCGAUACACGCAAACGAGGAUCUUCGAUAGUCCGCAUAGCACCACGUACUGAUAGGGGGUCUCGAUCGUACCGGAAGUCCGUUUGCUCACGAUCCGGAAGCACAGCUGGCCGCUGGCUGGGAAGCGCCCUGCCGGAGCCAACCCCGAAGGUUCAGCGCCAAUUAGCGGGCCUAGUAGGAAGAAGAUUCGCGCCCGAACAGAAACUAAACGGCACUUCUGAUCCAACAGUGACGCUCGUGACGCACCUGAUGAUCAGCACUGACCAACGAUUCACCUGUGCUACCUCCGGACGGCAUCCAGAGACCAGGCCUCCGCAUCGCCCGGAUAAGGUACGCCAAACUCCAAACAGCAGCCAAAAAAGGCCGAAAGUGAAAGCGACCAUCCCGCCGACAACAGCUCAACGGGUCUCCCGACAGAAACCAAGGUGAGCAGCAUGAUCAGCAACUUGCCAGGAUUCAUCCCGUGCUCCCUUCCGUAGAGAUCGGGGGAAGCUCGGCGGAACCAUAAAUCCCAUCACAAUAAAGCCCUAUUUCCGGGCUUUGGCCGUCGCAGCAACCUUGCUCCGGCCGGCCCUCGGCCGGCACGGCUCUGCGUCGCGCGGCGGCCAAGGGACGACGGUGCGGGGAGGUGAGGAGUGAGCGUGUUCUCACCUCAGACGCCCCCGGCGAGCGAGCGGCGGGGCCGCGCGGCCCGGCGGAGCCAAGCCGAGCCCGUACCAAACUACGAGCUCGCGCCGGUUUCAGGCGGCCACGCGCGGAGGGCCGGGGAGCUCCGGGCACGCCGCGCCGAGUGCGGGCUGCAGGACGGUCCGGGGGACGGAGGGGUAUUCGCGCUAACCAGCCAGCGUGGCCCGUUCUGUAGCUCGGAUAAUAGCCGCCACCCGAGCUCGGCUCGGUUGCGCAGACUGACGGGGCGGCGGGCGUCUUGGCCGGCGGCGGCGGCUCGCACGAGGCCGGCGCUUGCGACCGGCGGGCAAGUGGGGUGCUCGGGGUCGGAGGCGCCGGCGGGAGAGGUUCCAGGCUGCGUGGCGUGGCAUGCUGGGCUGGGCAGCUGGCAACCCUGGCCUCCUCGCCAUGGGGCUCGGCGCCAAAUGUGGCUGACAUGGGGAGCAAGCAGCGGCUGCGGCGGUGCCUCGGCGACGGCGGGCCAGUCGGCUGGGGAGGACGCCGGCGGUACUGGGAAUUCGGCAGAUGGGGUUUCAUCCAAACGGUUGGCAGCGCCGGCGCUCGGAUAAGGGCCGCACACAGGCCACCGGCUUGGGCUCGGGCUGGCGAGGCAGCAAGCGCGCGAUAGGCUGGCCGCCGGCGGCCGGCUCGGCGGCUCGCGGAGCCGGCCGGCGGCGGCUGCCCGAGCUCGAGUGGAAGGUGAGGCUGGCGAGGAGGGUUCGAGUGCUCCUCCCCUAGCUCAGGGUCCAAAGAUGUUUGGGAGGACAGUGGAAACAAGAUGAGGGAGAGGAAGGGGAAGGCUGAGGUGGUGGUUUGACGCGGCCGGGGCUCGGUCAGAGGGAGUCGGCGGUCGGAGGUGGUCGAACACUGGCAGGGCAGUUCAAGGGAGAGCGGCUGGUGGUGUCGUGGCCUAAGGUCAUUAGGGUUUUAGGAGUUUUGGUGAGACAAACCCUAAGAGAACUAUAUACAAGGGCGCAAACAUGCAAAAGGGCUCACUAAAACAUCGAAUUUUCAAUCCGAGCCUUCACCGAACGACUAAAAGCUACGCCGGGUCUCCUGUUCUAAAGGUGGUAAACGACCCUCCACGAUUGCGGAUCUCACGUUUAAAACGGUACAUAAAAUGUUCGCGACUUUCACGAAAAUACCGUCUUUUUUUUUGCACACUUAACCGACCUCUCCUCGCUAUCAACGCGCGAUUGCUCAGCAGAUCGUACCGUCAAUGUGGCGAACGAUUUGACCGGUGCCGAAUCAGCACCAAGCGAGAAACAAAGCUACGUUUCGAUUCUCGUCUGAUCGACCACGGAUUCACGACAAAAUCCAACCUUCUUCGAAUAGAAGGAAACACACACAUAAAUACAUAUAAAACAUGUAUUUUUGGAUUUUCUCGAAAUCCGUGCGUCGAACUCAAAAUCCGUCAGCGUCAUUAGCUCCAGAACAGCUGACCCGGUCGAAACGAGCUAUUGGACUGCUAUGACCAGAGUCCAGUACGAGCCAGAAGCCAAUUUCUCACCGUGGCUUCUCCGGAAAAUCGAGUUACUAUUCACUUUAAGUGAAACUUGGAAAUCGCGUAGAAUUUCCGUUUUAACUCGAUUUCGCCCGAAACUUGACGAGUGCUUUUGUAAUUAAAUUACACACAAAAACAUCGUCAACUGAGAGUUUAGCUACACUGCAAAAAUCUCAGUCCCUACAAAAAUCCAAGAUACAAAUAUUCCUCACACCAGCGAGUAAACCAGUAUAAGAAUGUACAUGAACCAAAAUACUCCAAAUCUACCUGUAGAUGGUACUACUCUAGUACUGCGACCAGGGAAGGGAUCUAGCUCGCGACUCUCUUUCCAGGAUCAGAAUCGGCGACAGCAGUAACCACAGAAGAAGGCUCUACAAAAAAGGGUCCACAACUGGGUAUGAAAACUACUGCAAGAAGGAAUAGUUCUCACCACUACCGACUUGAACGGCUCACUAACUAAGUCUACAGAAAGUAUGCAUAUGGAUAGUAAAAGAAGCUAGUAAAACUUUACAACUAUAUGCCACUAUACUAUCGCUAACCAACACUAGAUAUUUGUAGAUAUAAGCAAGAUGCAAUCUUUGACCCAAUCUCACAAGGGACUAUGAAUGCACCCGUCCCGCCUGUCGAAGCUACACCAACCACCACCACGCUGGAUUGUCGGUGGAGAGCAAGUCCAACGAGGACACUACGACAUCAACGCAAAAGCACAAAGCCAGACUCCGGAGUGGCACUCGUGGGCGCUACCCAACUGAGUAUGCAAGCGUAUCUCUGCCGAGCUCAAUCAGGCUCUCACAGGCUAUACUCAAAACAAAUGGGUUUAACUGGUCUAACAAUCAAAGCUCACGUGCCCUUGGCACAAUCUGAUAUAAAUAUAAAAAUCUGGGUCCAUUGUCAAUCGCGACGGCACCCGACAGUCUGAAACAGUUUACACACUACUGUAAAAAUAAACUCGGCAUUCCAGCACGAGCGUAAACUCAUUCUAUACUAAUCUGGAUUUCCAUCGCAUACUAACAGCGACGAUACAAAAGAACCACAGCUCCUAAAACUAAAUCUAAUAAUUUUCAGAAAUGACAGUGUGGAAUCUAUAUGUUUUCUCCUAAGUCAAUUCCAAGUCCAACAUGUAAAAUUAUACUACUGGCUUAAUUCCAAAUUCAAACUUUAUCUCUCAUCCAUAUAUAAAUUCGAGUACUAGCAAGGAAAUAAACCAAUGAAUAUGUCGACGAUACAAGAACUUAGGAGGUAUUCCGACGAUUUCGGUAAACUUCAACCCACCUCGAAAAACUAAUCCAACAACGGCGAGAAGUCGAAAGAAGAGGAAACUACGUGCUCUCCCGACCUCCCAAUGAUACAACCACAACGCCCGCGCACUCAAACGGCCCUCCUGAUCGAGUCGACAACCUCUCGAGCUCGAGCCGCGACCUCAACCCACGGACGAGUCCACUAGCUAAAGAGAGAGGAAAAUGAGAAGAAGAACCGACUUCAAUACUCUCUCUGUGAAUAUAAAGGCUGUGGAUAACCUUGGGUACGUUGAUCGACACUGUUGGAAGGACCAAAAUGCUCCUUACCAACUCAAAAAUCUAGCUAGAGUACCGGUACCCGAUUUGAUUACCGGUACUCGGCCUCUCAGCCCGCAAACUCGCACACAGGGUACUGGUACCAGUCUGAUGCUGUACUGAUACUCAGCAUCAGAUUGACACAAUCCGAGAGCAGUAUGUUCUGGAAAUACACAGGGAUACCGGUACCAGUUCGAUACCGUACCGGUACUCAACGUUGAAAUCCUACACUUUGCGGAUUUCAGCGUCAAAACUGCACUCUCGCCUCGCGUCGAGUCCAUUUUGCGUUUAUUUCGCGCCAAAACGACUCCGACUUAUCCCGACACUCUCCAGAUGUGUCGACAAGCCUCAAAUGAUGAGAUCUCACAGACAAUCUAAAAAUAGAGAUACUACAGAGAUUGAGGAGAAAAAAAAUAGUUUAAUUAUAUCUAGUAUAGGGAUUGAUAAUAUAGUAUAGAAAUUGAUAAAGUACAAUCAUAUAAUGAUAUCUUCAAAAUUUUUUUUGAAAAGUACUAUAAAUAAAAAUAAUAAUAAAAUAUAGUAUAGUAUAGUAUAUAGUAUAAUUAAGUCAUAAUAAUACAACAGUAGCAAAAUAGAUUGGUGCGUGUUCCAAGGAGCCUGGUGCAUGUCCAUUCGUACGUUAAAGGUUGUUAUAUUAAUUCUUAUUUCUAUGAUGUGGUACCGCAUUUUUGUCCCAAAAAACCAAAAGAACAUGCAGUGUCGCAUGGGCAAACCCCUUUGGACAUGGAUGUAUUCAUCCUGUUCGAUGUGGUUGUUUAGUCCUAUGAGAAUAUUUGCACUGUGCCCCUUGUGACGCUAAACUGCUCGAUUGCUCUUGGUGCCUUGUGCUUUAAAAUUCCUAUUUGGGAUCCUCUACUGUUUACAGUUAGUUUGCUAUUAACCUACUCUCAGGCCCCUUUGGUUCGGAGAUAACGAAUAUUGAGAUAAAGUUUUUUAUCCUUAGAAUAUCUUUUUAUUUUAGGAUGAUCGGAGAUAAAAGUAAAAUUAUAUUUGAUUUGUAAUGCUGUUAUUUUUUAAAAUAAUUAAAAUUGUAUUUGGUUAAUUUUAUGGAAUAAUAAAGGAUAGUGAAAAAAAUGAUUAUUGAAUUGAUAUAAAAUAUAAUAUCUUAUAAAAAUAAUUCAUUAUAAUAUUUAACAAAAAUAAUUUAUUAAUAAAUUAUAAUUUAAUAAAAAUAAUUUUUUCCUAUAUAAUUUUUUUAAAAAUUCUAAUUAAACUUAAAUCUAAUAAAAAUAAUUUAUUAUAAUAUUUAAAUAUAAAUAAUAUAUUUUAAUAUAGUAUAAUUAAUAAUUUUAUAAUAAAAAUAAUAUAUUAUAAUNUAGUAUAAUUAAUAAUUUUAUAAUAAAAAUAAUAUAUUAUAAUAUAUAACAUAUUAUAUUUAUAUAAUUUAGUUUUCAUUCAAUUUAAAAUUUUUUAACAAAGUUUGAAAUUAAAUUUUGAACUAGACUAUCCCGCCAAAAUGGUGGAAUAGUAAAUCUUAAGCUAUUCCGGAAUAGCCGGGAAUAGUAAGGUGACAGGGAUAAAGUAUUUAGGCCAAAAAGCGCCCCAUUUGGUCGAAUAGCUAGCGGGGAUAACUUUUGUUAUCCCUAUUUUAUCCCCGAACUAAACUGGGCCUUAGGACAUAAAUAUUAAAUUGAGGUACCCAUUCUAUUGCAGAUCUCAUCUUACCCUCUAUUUUUCAGCAGUUACAUAACUCUUCAUGUCAAAAAAAAAAGAUUGUUUAGAUCCAAUGGGAUCGAAUCUUACCAAUUUAUUUCAACAUUAAAUCAUAAUAUAGAUAUUUAUUUAGUACAAUAUGUAUACGAUAUAUAGCUCUUUUCAUCUACUCUUAGGAUGGCUUGAUUAUACAUAACUGUAACUAUACUGCAGUUGUAAUUAUAUGGCGCACGUGAUGCCAUUUAAAUUUACCUGUUGGAAUUAUACAAGAUGGUUCAACUAUAACAGUUGGAGCUAUAUUCUUAAAUUAGUCACAAUUCCAACUACAGUAUUUAGAUAGAGAAUAAGUAACAAAUGGUAAGCUUAUCUCUCAAAUAACAUUUUAAAUAGAAAAUAUUUUUUUCACACAUCUGAGUAAACUCACUAUCCUAAUAUGAAAAUAAUAAAAUACUAUAACAGCACUUUUCAAGCGCUUACAACCAAAUAAAUUAUUUAUAGUUGCAAAAAUUUCAAUUACAUCCAACCAUGCAAGAUACAUGUAAUCAUAGUUGCUGUAUUUUUUCUACAUGGAUAUCAAACUAUAUUGCAUUUAUAAUUACAUUUAACCAAAUGGUCUUGUAACACCUAUAGAAUUUAAAACAAUCCUAUACAUAAAAUAAUAGAGCUAAAUCUCUUAACUCGCUUAAAAUAUUUUGGAUAAUGGUUAGACCCAAGUGGUUAAGAAAGUUAAGUAUGUUAACAUUAGAGUAGUUCUAGAAUAUAUGGAUGACUCCUUAAGAAGUGAGGUGUCACAAUUGGUAUCAAAGUCAAUCACUAGUUAAAAAUAUGAGAGGAGUUUCGACUGAGAUUGAAUUAUAUAGCGGAUAGAGUGUGCUUCUCGGCUGAUGACUAUUGUGGGUGGAGCACGACUCCUCACACGGUAGCCUAAGGCUAGUGAGACAAGUUUCCCAUCCAUUUAGUGGUGGAGAAUAUAAAAUUCAGAAUAUAAAACUAAGAAGAGAAUAUGAAAUUCAGAAUCUUCUAAUUUAUUAUCAUAUUGAAACAGUCAUUCUAUUUUCCCAUCCAUUUAGUGGUGGAGAGUUGCCCAAUAGUCACAUCCAUACUAUGACUAAUGGAGAAAACUCCAUCUUUGAAUGAAUACGUACGUAGGAUGUAUAAAAUACACUCACUUAUAAGUGUAUCCGGCCCUAGCAUUGCUCAUAAGAUAAAGCUAUAAAAAUAUAUAUAUAAUAUUUUAAAUAAUUUAAUACAAAAGUUCUAUCUCAUAUAAUUAAGGGGUAAUUACGUAUAUAUCCCUGAAAAGUUUCCGACAUUUCGAUUUAUCCAUCUUAAAAGGCUAAUAUUAAAAAUAGCCUUUCUACUUCCAACCUAUUUCUAAUAUAUUUCUAGAGUUAAAAUCUGUUAAUUAAUUCUGUUAUCUCUGUAAAAUUACUAUUUUGCCCUUUCAAAUAUACUCUUCCACCAUCACUGACCUUCUUAUUUGUCCUUAAAGUCAGGGGCACAAAAAACAUUUUAAACUUUUGGUCUUUUCCAAUAUAUCCCUCUGUCGUCACUAAUAUUUUUUAUUUAUCCUCAAGUUAAGGACAAAAUUGGUAUUUUAAUUUUUUUUAACUGUGAUAGAUAUUUAACUCAUGUUUAACCUAAGUUAACUUAAUAGGAGAUAACUGCGGGGGUAUUUUGCAAUAACGGUGGUACAUAUGGGGGGUAUUUUAAAAAGAAUAAAAAAAAUAGUAAGAAUAAAUCAGAUAUUUUCAAACGUAUGAGAAGUAUAUAGGCAAUUUUUUCUAGAAUUAAUAUUCUAUUCCAACGUUCUAUUCAAAGAAGAAUAAAGCUUUUUCUUUAUAUAUUAAUUAUUCUCUCGAAAUAGCUCUAUAUCUAUAUAAACAGGCUACGAAGCCCAACGCAGUCACUCAUUCCCUACAUCAGUCACACUCCCACUUUCUCGUUACUGUUCGUACUCUUUUGCUGCAGCAGUACCAGCCUCGCCUCUUCCUCUUCCUCCUUUCUUGGUAAGUUAGGACUUAGCUUCUUAAUUUGCUAAUGCAGUUGGUCACCGAACCAAAUCGAAUUUUCUUUUGAUCAAUAAACCUUUUAAGUUUGAUAUUAGGGACCAUUCAAGAUCCUCAAUUUUCGUAAUUGUUUCAUCACUUUAGUUGCUUCACUUUAGUACUUUCCUUAGAAUGAAAAUUAUCUGAUUUAUUUAUACGCUCGUACUCGUACAUGUACAUCGUAAACCAUUGGCUUCUCAUGUGUUUAAAUAUCUAAGUAAAUAGAAGGAAAAACUUCAAAAUGUCCAGGUGUGGUAUAGAGCAUUUUUUCACUUUUCCAUCCAAUGGUUAAAACUUUACACUUUGAUCCCAUGCAUUUUAAUUUUUAUUCUAUAUCAAAUAACAUGACAAACAAAAACUUUUGAAAGACCAUAGAAUGGCAAAGUUUUAGUAAUGUUCUAAACUACAUAGUAGUUAACUAUAACUUUUUAAACCAAACCACAGAAUACUAAAAUAAAUUGAGCUAAGCUACAAGAGACAAAGUGCAACUUUUUAAAAUCGGGGCAAUUUGAAGUUUACCCUAAAUAAAACAUAGCAACUCAAUGGACGACAAGCUUAAAAAUUGGAUGGAUGCACGUUACAUGAAUAUGGAGAUGAAUCACGUGUGGGUAAUAGUUUCUUCUUUAAUUGGAAGUAUAUAUAGAUAGGAAUCAAAAUGAUAGUUUGAAAAGUUUAGUGGCAUAAAUGAAAAAAAAAGGAAGAAAUGUACUAACACUCACUGAAUUCUAAAUAUUUGCUAAAUUAAACUUCCAAUUUUCGUAAAAAGAUCUCCUAGACUUCACCAAAUAAGCAAAGUCACAAGCUAAUUACUACAACAAAAUAUAUUUUAGACGACACUUUUUAGACGAUGCUCUAUUGUAGCGUCUUCAAUAUUUGGCAUGUGCUGACACUAUGAUUAAGCGUAGCCAAUAAAAAUAUUUUUAUCAAAACUGAUAAAAAUUUUUCGACACUAUAUUAAAGCGUCGACAUAUUUAUUCCGACAUGUUUACUUAACGACUCUUUACCCGACGUUUAUAUAAACGUCAGGGUUAUUCUUGUUGAUGCUUUAAAAUGUCGCUAGUUAAUUAUUUUUUGAGAAUAGGUAGCGCACUACCUACUUCAUUCAUUGAAAGAGUAAAUUAGGCUACAGGGGUGAGACAAUCAGGACCUCGAAAAAAAAUAAAAUAAAAUAAAAUAAAAUAAAGGCUAUUAGUAAUCAAAAAGUAGAUCCAAUGGCUAAAAACACACAAGUAUCACUUGGGUGAUACUUGUAAAAGUAUUCUAGCCCUACUCUCUCUCUCUCUCUCUCUCUCUCUCUCUCUCUCUCUCUCUCUCUCUAUAUAUAUAUAUAUAUAUAUAUAUAUAUACCAGCUACUAUACUAUUACGAGUACGAUCGCUCUCGUACUCAUAAAUCAUUUUCGAUGAUAGAGCUUCCGAAUCGACGAACCAUACCGUUAAAUAUUAUUUACAACAUUUAAAACUUCUAGAAAUUAAAUUUUAUAAUUUUUCGACAUCAUUUUCCUUACGAUCAAGAGGUCACAAAUUUGACAGUUUUUAAUGGCUGGUAUGGGAUACUUACCAGUUAACGCUGUAAAAGAAUCGGAAUUUGUUGUACUUUUGAUAAAAAAAAUUUUAUUCACUAUCUAGAUAAAGGUCAAUAACUCUGAUCUUGAAUUGAAGGAUCCGAUCAUCCUUUUUUAAAACGUCGUUCGAUUUUGACCGUUCAUUUUUUGCCCGCUUGAUGGACUUUAUUAUGAUUUCAAAAAUUUACGAAAUUUAUCUUCUAGAAGUUUCAAAUACUCUAGAUCAUAUUUAACGGAGUGGAUCGUCGAUUUGGAAGCUCCAUCAUCGAAAACAACUUAUGAGUACGAGGGCUCCAAUACUCAUAAUAGUAUAGUAGCCACGGCCUNGACCUACAUUGGCUCCAAUUAGAUAAUGGGCUUUUUGUGUCACACUAGGCCAUGGACCCAAUACAACACUGUCGACCCGGCCCGAAUCCGGUCUAUUUCCGUAUUUAUUAAACUGGAAUAUGACAUCUGACCAAAUCACGUACACGUAAACACACCAUCUAGCAAAUAGCUUAUCAACUUUCACUUAAGUUCACAUUGCUUAAUUUCCAAAGAUGUUGACUAAAACCAUAUGAUUAAAUCACCAUUGAGUGUUGCAAUCACCUUAGUGUUAAUUUUAUUUUCAUUAAUUAAUCAAUUAAUUUGGCCGUAGAUAUUGCUCUACAACAAUUACGAGGAAAUAUCAUUGCACCCCCCAAAAACUAUCUAUAAUUAUUUCGGCUGUUUUAAGCUGUUAUUUUUGGAAUGAGCCAAUUUUAGUUUUUCAGAGGGAGCUUUGUGCGAAAAAUGCUAUCGUCUCGACUCUCUUGAGACUCCAACUAUUUUCCCUCUUCCUCGAUAGAGAGAUAGAGAGAUAGAGAGAGAGAGAGAGAGAGGUGGCGUUCAUGGGGUGCUCCUUCUCGGGAUUGAACGCGCUCUACGGGGCGAUGAGUUGGGGAGGGGACGUGUGCCGCUGUAUUAUUAAUAGUAGGGAUGUCCGGAAUUGAUUGGAUAUGUUUGGUGUAUUAAUAAUGAUUCAAGGGUGAAAAAGCGGAUUGUAUAUAUUAUUGUUCCAGCUAAACUCAUAAUAAUACAUAUAAAUAGAGAGAGAGAGAGUCUUUAGAAACAUUUAUUAUAAACAAAUCUUCUUUUGUUUUUAGAGAGAAAUAUUUGAUUAAGAAAAAUACUUAUUGUGUACCAAAAAAUGCUGUAGAUCCUACACUCCAUCCUAGGGAAAAACUCAAAUGAGAUUUAGUAAAAUAUGAAAAUAGUUGAUGUUACAAGUAAAAAAGUAAUGGUUCUUGAAUGGUAUAGGUGUAAGAUAUACAUCACACUUUGGAGUGUACCAGUAGUAUUAUCUUUUUAUUAGACAUCUUUGUUAUUACUAAAACUAAUGGAUUAUAACUUUCAUAUUUAACUGUUCACUUGUCCCUGAAAUAUCUAGAUUUUAAUUUUAUGAUGUAUGCACUAUUAAUUUCAGAAGGAGCUUGUAGUGAUCAUUAUUAUAAUUCAAGCUUUUAAUGGUGAUCAAUUGUCUUUAUAAUGUUCUUUAAUGUGUUUUGUUUAAAAUUUGGUGGCAAUAGUAAGUGUUUGAAAGCAUUUUACAGUUUAAUUAAGUAUACCUUAUAAUAACAUUUGUAAUUACUAGUAUAGCAUGUAUCUUUUAGCGGCAUUUAUUUUUAUCUUUACCAGUUGUCAGAAUAAAAGUCGUUAAAAUCUUUUUCGAUCCUGCCUAGAGCGGCAUUAUCUCCAUUGUUAGUACACUAAUUGGCGACAAAUACAAAUGUUGGAAUACAAAUGCUGCUAAUUUAUAAAGUAAUCGCUGCUAAAAGUUAAUUUUGUUGUAGGUACGUACGUACCCUAAAAACAAGGGAUGUAUUGGAUCAAGAGAAAAUGCCAUUGUGAUGCAUGAAUUAAUUGAAAAUAGCUACAUAUUAAAACUAGGAGUGGAAAUAUAAAUAUUUAAAAUUGAGAUAUCUGUUUUUAAUUUUUAAAAUUUAAAUCUUAAAUUAAAAAUCUUGUUUUUAAUUUAUAAAUUUAAUCGGUUAAUUACACAAUUAGUCCCCAACCUUUGCACUGAUUUUUAAUUUGGUCUCCAAUCUUUGUUUUUUUUUCAAUCCGCUGACACAGUACCUCCGUGACGCUGACAUGAUGCUAACAUAGCAUUUUUCGUCAAUUUUAACAUCUUUCUAAUGGCUAGAACCCCCUUAUGAGUAGGGCUACUAUGCCAUUAGGAGUACACCAGUCCUUGUGUUCCUAACUUCCUAACCAUUCAUCAAUUUUGAAGUAGAAGAGAAAUUAAGACACCCAAUUUCUCUUUAAUUUCUCUUCUCUCUCUUAUUGUUAGGAAGUUAGGAGCACAAGGCCUAUUAUGCUACUAAUAGCAUAGUAGCCCUGCUCUCUCAAAUUUCUCUUUAAUUUCUCUUCUCUCUCUCACCGUUAGGAAGUUAAGAGCACAAGGGCUGCUAUAUUACUAAUAGCACAGUACCCCUGCUCUCUCCAUUUUUUCUUUAUUUUCUCUUCUCUCUCUCACCUUUAGGAAGUUAGGAUCACAAGAGAUGUUAUGCUACUAAUAGCACAGUAGUCCUGCUCUCUCUCUCUCUCUCUCCCUCUCCCUAUAUAUAUAUAUAUAUAUAUAUAUAUAUAUAUAUAUAUAUAUAUAAUAUAAUUAUAACAGCUACAAGUACAAGUAUUCUUAUUAGUAUAUGACCCCUUAGUAUUUAUAAAUUUUGUACUAAGUGGCAAAAGGGAUAUGCGGUUAGGAAUGAUAGUGGUCCUCAAUUAGAAUGAUAGGGAUCCUCUAGAGUUGAGUUGGUGAUUGGUUGAAUAUUUGAUCUAAGGAGUGAAAUGGUCAAAGGGGUAGACUAACGACCAGGAAAUUUAUGAAGUACAAAUGGAGUCUAACUGCAAUUGUACAGUAGCCGAAUUAGUAUAUAUGAUCUAUAUAUAACUAUAAUAUAUAUAAUAUAUAUAUAGAGAAGAGAGAGAGAGAGAGAGAGGAGACGAGAUGAUGAGAGAGGAGAGCUGGGUAUGCUUCUGGAAGCAUGGAGCCUUCCGUGCUUCCAAGUCGUUUUCGAUGUUGGGGAUUUCGAAUCGACGAUCGGCUCCGCUAGAGUUGAUCUAGAGUAUUUGAAGUACCCAGAAAAUAAAUUUUGUGAUUUUUUGAUAUCAUUUGCCUAGUGAUCGAAAGGGCUCAAAAUCAAUAAUUUUAAUGGCCGUGGUGAGCCGUUUACAAGUUUAACGGUAUAGAAAUAUCCAAAUCACAUUAAAUUUUGAUAAAAAAUUCUUUAUACUAUAUAAAACAAGAUCAAUAACUUUGAUCUAAAAUUUUAAUAUCAUAUCAUCAUAUUUUUUAAGAUUUUUAUUUUCAACCGUUGAUUUUGAGUCUUUUCGAUCACUAGGCUAUCAAAAAAGAGCCGUUUGCAAGUUUAACGGUAUAGAAAUAUUCAAAUCAUAUUAAAUUUUGAUAGAAAAUUCUUUAUACUAUAAAAAACAAGAUCAAUAAAUAUAGUAGAGUUAGAAUACUUUUAGAAGCACCAACUCAUUGGUGCUUCUAAGUUUCUAGCUCUUGGAUCUACUCCCUAAUUACUAAUAUUUCUUGGAUCAAAUACUAUUCCACCUACCACCACCUACCCACCAUCAUCUGAACCCUACAUCUCUCCAUCCAAGGGCUAAAAAUUCAAAGGCACCAACCCAUUGGUGCUUUUGAGAGUAUUCUAGCUCUACUAUAUAUAUAUAUAUAUAUAUAUAUAUAUAUAUAUAUAUAUAUAUAUAUAUAUAUAUAUAUAUAUGAGUUUGGCUACUAUGCUAUUAAUAGCACUAAACGUUUGGUGUUAUCAAGUUUUCUACCAGUGGAUCUACCCUCUUUGAUCAUUUUCGACCGUCAGAUCAUACUAUUCAACCAACCACCUACUCAACUCUAGAGACCACUCUCAUCCUAACGUUACAUCACUUCGUCCACGGGUUGAAAACCUAAUCGCACCACUGACUUAGUGCUAUUAAUAGUAUUGUAACCUAGUUUUACAUAUAUUCUCUGCAAACAAAUCGGUAAAAUUAAGGGUAAACUUCAAAUACCAUCCCUAUGGUUCUCACUUUCUCACUUUAGUACCUUGUGGUUUAAAGUGUGUCAAUUUAGUACCCUGUGGUUUUAUUUUUCUCUUUUCGUCAGCUCUUUCGUUAACAUUUCGUUAAAUUAUAUACAAAAAACUUCAGAUACCCUAUCUAGAUUUAUCGAAUAUUCACUUUAAUAUCUUUUAGUUUUAACUUUGUCACUGAUUUAACAAACAAAAAAUAGUGGAAAGGAUAAUAAAAAAAAAAGAAUGAAACCACGGAAUACUAAAUUAAUACACUUUAAACCAUAGGGUACUAAGAUAAAAAAAUACGAAACCACGUGAGCGGUUUUUGAAGUUUUCUCUAAAAUUAUACUACCUUCUUGUGACAAUGCAAUGAUGACAGAUGCACUACUGAUUCUACUGAGUGUUUAAAAACACAGGUACGUACCGGAAAGCGAACCAAGAAAUGUGCAAUCUGUGAUCACAAAUACGGAAACUAACGCGUGCAGGAUUUUCAAAAUUCCAGAACAACAUAUCUGCGACGACAAUGUCCAGUCCUUCCACCCAAUAAUUCUAUCGAUCGGCCCAUAUCACCACGGAUCUUCACAUGUAGCCGGCAUGGAGUCAGUGAAGUUGGAUUGUCGACGAAGGAUCUUCGGUUAUGAUAGUGACAACUACCAUGUCAGCGGCGAAAUCAUGGAACUAGAAAACAGAGCAAGAGGAUUGUACAGCGAGAAUGUGACAAUGGAACGGGAGGACUUUGCUAAGAUGCUCUUGCUCGACGGAUGCUUCAUAGCUGUUGCUCUCGGAAAGAUGGAAGGCCGGGCUGUUGAAAACAUACCCAGCGAAGCUGAUCUUAGCCAGCACGAAGCAUUGAAUAGGCACGACAUAGUGCAUGACCUACUCCUGGUAGAGAAUCAAAUUCCUUUUUUCGUCCUCGAGGAAAUACGUAACCUAGCUGCACCUAUACCAGGAGAAACAACUGAACAAUUUAAAAAAAACAUCGCUAAAUAUGUGGAACGUGUGCUACGACACUACCCAAAAGCGAUCGAAAUCCCCGCGAUCUGUUCGAAUGAUUUUCACCAUCUGCUACACUUGUGCCAUAUGUUCUUUCGACCUAGUCAAAAUCCAGCGGGACACCACCGCAUUCAAACAAUGAUUCAAUGCUUUCCUUGCUCUGAUCGCUCACAUCACAUGACGAACCAGUGGCACCGAGCAAUGCAAUACCGUGAAGCAGGAGUCGAGUUCAGAGUAAAGGACUCAUCUUCGACUCCCCAUUCUCUAUUGGACGUGACGUUCAGCAAUGGGACAAUGGAAAUUCCACACCUGUCCAUUGACGCGAAGACAGAGUCGAUUUUUAGUAAUUUGAUCAUGUUCGAGGUAGGAUAUCCAAGCGCUGGGAACUAUAUAAAUGCAUACGUCACAUUCAUGUCGCAACUUCUCUGCGAUGCUGAUGAUGUUAAAUUACUUGCCCGUGAAAAAAUCGUUCAUAUAUUGGGUCCCCAGGAAGAGGUUGUAAAUAUUUUCAACAGGCUUAACGGGUUGGCUGUUUUCGAUCCCUGUGGGGAGAACUAUUAUUUAACAUCUACGUUUCAGUCGGUGGAAGCACACUACCGUUGCCGUUGUAAUUGGUGGAUGGCAUGGUUGAAGCACAAUCACCUAAAAAAUCCGUGCGUGAUCAUUGCAGCACUCUUAGGUUUUAUAUCUCUGCUCUGCAUUAUGAUUCAAAAUUUUCUUUCUAUUUUGAAGCAUUUCAAUGUGGUACAUCAUUAACCGUCGUCGAUAUUAUUUGUUUCUUCAUGCAAUCUAUUUGUUUACCCAGAUCAGUUUGUUUUGAGUUUGUCUGUUUUCUGCUUACGCUUAUUCAUGUUAUGCAUGUGAUGACUUGCAAGUGCUUGGCUUGUUUCCAGCAUCAUUUCAUAAAAAACCUAUGUUCUUGGAAUAUCAUAUUUGAUUUUUGUGGAGUUAUACUGCAUUAAUUAGUUUUUUAUCACGAACAAUAUUGUAAACUUUUCCCUGGUUCUUUAUGCUGCAGUUAUUGUACUAGAGGAGUAAAAAAAUGAAAUAGAGAGAGAGAUGGACUUGAUUAAUUAGAGGAGCUAGAGCUCACAACAUUCAUUUAUGAAGUUAUGAAUUGGCGACUUUCGGAGCCUCGGAGGCUUCUCCGCAAUCCGCGGGCUGCGGGGCCCACUGUCAAGCUUAUGUGUGGGGUCCCCUGACCAGAUAUUUUCGGGUCGCGUCUUUUUGACCCUCACCUCGCUGGUUUUUUACCCUCUUUUGCCCUUUAUGGACUCCGAAUUAUCCUCUCUCCUCUAUUUUUCUGCUGCAUGUGGGUACACGGCGUUUGGUGUGGUGCUGGACAGGUUGGUUUUGAUUUUUAUUAACCGUUUGGUUCGGGGAUAAGUAAGAACUAGCUAUUACAGGGAUAGGUACAAAUAUGGAGAUACAAAAAAUAGCGUUUGGAUGAAAAUUGGGUUGUUCCCGGAAAUAAGAAAAAUAUUAGAAAAUUUUAUAUAAAAAGUAGAGGUGUUGGUGGGGGUAACCAAGAACUACUAUUCUCGGAUAAAAAAUUAGCAUUUGGGUAUAAAGGGGGGGAUAAGGGUCUAUUCCUAUCCCUAUCCCUAUUCCCAAACAAAACGGUGUUUCUGAACUUUUGCAGGUUAAUAGAAUUUCAGGGUUUGCAUUUUUUGGGGGAGAUUUUUUUAACUAAAACCUUGUUGCAACAUAGGCACUCUAUUUGGUUUUGAAAUCUUGCUAUUUCUAUUUGGUAUUAAGAGUAGAGCUACUAUGCUAUCGGAAGCAUAGAGAAUCUGGUGCUUCUGAUUUUUUCGCCCUUAGAUCAACUUUUUUGAUUAUUUUUAACCUUUGAAUUAAUACUACUAUCCUGUGGGGACCACUCAAUUCUAGAGUACUACUCAACUCUGGGAAACUGCAAUCAUCCUAACUGUAUAAUUUUUGAUCCAAGGGCCAAAAAAUCGGAAGUAUCAGAUUUUCUAUGCUUCCGAUAGUAUGGUAGCUCUACACCGGUAUUAAUCUGUUUGCUUCGAAUUCCAUACUUAAUUCCGUCACAAACUGAAACUUUUUUCCCUAAUUCAUGAGAAAAGAAUAUAGCAUAACGGGUAUGUAGCAAGCUUCAGAAACCUAAGAAGGCAUGGCGACAUUGCUGACAUUUUAGUAAAUGUUGUAGCCUAUCGACUGCGGCAAGUGGUUGGUUGUUCUGGCCGCCGUUCGAUUUACUUGCGUGUGUUCUUUUUUUCUCAUUCGUUUUCUUGUGUAUGGAUUACUCUGUUUUAUUUUUUUCCCCUACCAUGUAGAUUCCCCCAAGCACAUUAAGGAGAAAAAAAAAAAAAAGGUCAGGAAAAAAAUUAAGAACAAUGCUAUUACUAUUCGCAACAAACUCGGCAUUCGAAUAAGGAGGAAAGAGUCCACUUUUCUUCUAUGCUUUUCAAGUUGCGUAUGAUGUUUUGAAAUCAAGGAACAGUAUAGCAAUGCAUGCUUUAUUCCUGUAUUUUGUUUAAUACUAUCCCUUUUAGUAUUUAUAAACUUUUGAAUUUAUGUCCUCUAGUUUUUUUGAGAGGGAAAACUUCAAAACAAAACCCAUGUGUUUUUAUUUUUUUUCAUUUUAGUACCCUGUGGUUUAAAAUGUAUCAAGUUUGUACCAUGUGGUUUCUCACUUUAUUACUUUAGUAUCCUAUGGUUUAAAAUGUAUCACUUUAGUACCCUAUGGUUUUACACUUUAUGAUUUUAGUACCAUAUGGUUUUAAUUUUGUAUCAAGUUAGUAACUUGUAGUUUUUAAACCACAGGGUACUAAAGUGAUAAAGUACGAAACUACAGGGUACUAAAGUGAUGAAGUGCAAAACCAUAGGGUAUUAACUUGAUACACUUUAAACCACAAGAUACUAAAGUGAUAAAGUGAGAAACCACAGGGUACUAACUUGACAUAUUUUAAACCAUAGGGUACUAAAGUGAAAAAAAGUGAAACCACAAAGGAGUUUUUUGAAGUUUUCCCUUUCUGAAACUUUUCUUCUUUUUGCGAGCUGUCGGGCCUGCUAUACUGUUGGGUACUUUCUACACUCAGGUCUUGAUUAUUUAGAACUAUUGCAAACGUGUUCAAUGCUUUCUUUUUGCUGUGAUGAUCUUGCUCUUAGACGCUGAGAUAUUUGAGAAAUGCUUCUAUACACCGGUCAAUUUAAAUUUGACCAUUCAAAUUUGUGAGGUUAAGAUUGACUUUUACACAAUGGUAACAUGCUCAACAGAUUACCAAUCAAUCAUAAAGAUAAUAUUUGAAAAUAUGCAUUAGCUAAUUACCAAAUUUGAUAAUAUCCAACAAAUCUUCAUUUCCUAAUUUAAUUUUGUUACUUACCAAAUUAGAUAAUGGCUAAUUACAUAAGUGAUAAAUCUUCAUAAAUUCGAAUUUAAAAUUUAACUUGAGUUUAAACUUUAUAUUUAUAAUUGUAUAAAUUAAAUUUAAAUUUUAGAAAGAAAAAUUUAUAUUUAAACGAGUAAACAUUUGAAUUCAAAUUGUUAAUUUAAUAUUAAACUAACAUGAAAGUGCAAAAAUGUUAAUAUCUUUAAAAUUGUAAUUUAAGUUAUAGUGUAUAUAUAAACUUUUAUUAUUUAUUUAAAUAUAAGAUUUCUACAUUUUAAAGUAAGUUGAAAUUGUUAAUUCAAUAUUGAAAAACAGCAUUAAAUUUCAAAAAUAUUGAUCAAAUUUAAAUUAUAAAUUUAGAUUAAAUUUAUAUUAUACUUAAAAAAUAAAUUUAGUUAACUAUUUAAACAUAAAGUUUCAAUGUUUGAAAAUUAAUUUUAAAUUAUAAAUUACUAAAUUUAUGACUCAAUGAGAUCAUAAAUUAUUAUUAAAACCGACCUUAAAAUGGAUAAUUUAAUUAAAAAUUUAUUCUCUCCAGGAUUCAAGAGCAGUAUAUAUGCAAAACUUUCCAAUAUUAGUUAUUUAACUUUCUAAUAUUAGCUCUUUCUUUUUCCAAAAAACUCCUAGAUUCACAUACCUGGUGACCGGUACUACUUGUGCAAUAGCAGAUCAUCUUUUUUUAUGCAUAAAUCUUAACCCUUCAUUGAUUAAAAAUAAACAGCUAAGAUCAGAAUGGAGUAUUGAAGCAUUGCUCUUUAAAAAAUUCAAGGACCGAGAUCUUUUUUGUGCAUAGGAGCAUUGCUCAUUAUUAUUUUUUUAUUAAAGGGGUAUGGGUGUAAUUUUUUCAAACUAUAAUUUGAUAGGAGACAUAUUUUAUACUCUGAUUUGAUUAAGAAAUCUAGUUUCUCCCAACAAACUAGAUUUCUGGUAUAUAUGAGCGAAAAUUUGGUAUUAGUGUAAAUUGCAAAAUUUUAACACAACAUGCAACUCCAAAUCUAAAACAUUUUUCUAGUUGGGCUGAUUGUAAGGAUUGAAAUGCCAUGGCACGGGAGUCGUGCCGGAAGCUUGCCGGUACGGUGCAUGCCGAAUUGUGCGGAUGCGUGCCGGUCACAAAAAAUAUAUAUAUAUUGACACGAAAUAGCAUGAAAUAUUUAUUAUUUUAACAAUAAAAUAUGUAAAUUAUUUAUUAUAUAUUUUUAUCAAAUUUUUUAAACUUUAUUGAGAUAAUUAUUCAUUAAUUUCAAGAAUACAGAGUUUUAAGUUGUGCCAUCGGCACGGGGGCUAUAUCGUGCCGAUAUAUUGCUGGCAUGCUAUGGCACGAUAAAUACACCCCUUGCCGAUAGACAUUUCACCGUUAAACUAGCAAAUAUCUCAUACCGGUCAUUAAAAAUUGUCAAUUUUGUGAGCUUUUGAUUGUAAGGUAAAUGAUAUUGAAAAAUUACGAAAUUUAUUUUCUAGAAGUUUCAAAUACUUUAGAUCAUUUUUAACGGUGUGGAUCGUCGAUUCGAAACGUCCAACAUUAAAAACAAUUUAUGAGUACGAAGGGUUCUAUGCUCAUAAGAGUAUAGUAGCCCUACUCUCUCUCUCUCUCUCUCUCUCUCUCUCUCUCUCUCUCUCUCUAUAUAUAUAUAUAGGCCAAUUUGCAUAAAAAAUUCACUUAUUUUGGGCUUUUGCAAAAUCGGGCCAUCUUUUUGGUUUUUGCAGAUUCGGUCCGCUUUUUUAGCAUACUGACCAAAAUACCCUUAUACCUUUUUCUCUUUCCUCUUUCUCUCUCCUCUUUUUUUUCUCUCGUUCUUUUUUCUUUUUCUUCCCAGAGAGCGGCGAAGACGGAGCGGAGGCGCCCUUAUACCUUUUUCUCUCCUCUUUUUUCUCUUAUUUUUUUUUUCUUUCUCUUUCCAGAGAGCGGCGAAGACAGAGCGGCGUCAUCGCCGACGCCCCCACCUUCCUCGCCUCCGAUCCUCCCAAGGCCGAACUGCGAUUUUCUUUUUUUUGCUUUUUUCUUUUUUUUUCUUCUCCGACUCUCCUCCAGUCUCUGACGACGGCGCCUCUCUCGCUCUUCCCUGCCCUUCUCGUCUCUCCUUCUCCCUCAUUCUUUGCUGCCUCCGACGACGAUGCAUCUUCGCCGACACCGACGCCGACACCGUGGAGAUCACUGCGGCGCUGCAGUCUCGGAGUGGGCGGGUCUUUAGCGGCGUCAUCACCGGCACCGUGGCUAUUAGCACAGAAGGUGACAAAAAAAUAUUAAAAAAGAAACAAAAAAAAAUAAAGAUAAAAAAUUAUAUAAAAAAAGGAUGAAGAUGAAAUUAUAUUGUUAACUGCAAAACAAAUUACAAGUUGCACUACUUAAGAUGUAAACUGCAGUUUUAAGAUGAAAAUUACACUCUUUAAACGAAAAUCACACUCUUUGGGAGAUAUUUACACUGUUUCUCUUCUUAUUGCACUCUUUCAGAUAUAAACUGCACCCACUAAGAUAAAAAUUACACUCUUUAAAUGAAAGUUGCACUGUUUCUCCUCUUGUUGCACCAUUUUUUCUCUUGGUACACUAUUUUUUACUUUAAACUGCACCCAUUUAAGAGAUAUUUAUACUUGUUCUUCUCUUGUUGCACUGUUUUUACUCUUGUUGUACUAUUUCUCCUCUUGUUACACUGUUUCUUCUUUUAAAGGGUGCAGUUUAAGAUAAAAACAGUGUAACAAGAGAAGAAAUAGUGUAACGAGAGAAGAAACAGUACAACAAGAGGAGAAACAGUAUAAAUAUCUCUUAAAGAGGUGCAGGUUAUGAUAAAAAAUGGUGUAACAAGAUGAAAAAUGGUGCAACAAGAGGAGAAACAGUGCAACUUUCGUUUAAAGAGCGUAACUUUUAUCUUAAUGGAUGUAGUUUAAAUCUGAAAGAGUGUAAUACGAAGAGAAAUAGUGUAAAUAUCUUCCAAAGAGUGUAAUUUUCGUUUAAAGAGUGUAAUUUUUAUCUUAAAGCUGCAGUUUACAUCUUAAGUGGUGUAACUCGUAAUUUUUCUUGCAGUUAACGAUGUAAUUUCAUCUUCAUCCUUCUUUUUAUAUAAUUUUUUAUCUUUAUUUUUUUUUUUUCUGUUUCUUCUAUAAUUUUCUUUUUGUCACCCUCUCUGCCAAUAGCCACGGCACCGGUGACGACGCCGCUAAAGACCCCCCGCUCCGAGGCUGCAGUGCCGCAGUGACAUCCACGGUGUCGGCGUCGGUGCCGGCAAAGAUGCAUCGUCGUCGGAGGCAGUAGAGAAGAAGGGAGAUAGAGAGACGAGAAGAGCGGGGAAGAGCGAGAGAGGCGUCGUCGUCGGAGACUGUGUAGGAGAGUCGGAGAAGAAAAAAAAAGAAAAAAACAAAAAACAAAAAAAGCCGCGGAACGACCUUGGCGGGGUCGGAGGCGAGGAAGGUGAGGGUGCGUGGGUGAGGGCAAGGGCAAGAGUCGGAGAAGAAAAGAAAAGAAAAAAGCAAGAAAAAAAAAAAAAAAAAAANCGCUCGUGUUCGGCUCGUUUACACCCCUACCUAUAAGCUCAUCCAAGCAAAGAGAAACACUUCCCAAUAUGUAUUGAUGCAAUAAAAUGGCAAAGGUUACGGCUCACUCACUGAGUGGUCUGCUAGUGAACUCAAAUGCGGUGAUUUGAAUUCAAAACCAUUCUUUUAAUAUAACUAGCGUCUGUGUUCUGUUAGCAUGUAUGAUCUCUAUUUUUUGUCUGUAUAUAUAUAUAUAUAUAUAUAUAUAUAUAUAUAUAUAUAUAUAUGGAAAGAAAGUGUUACAUUGAAACUCCGAUGUCGGCAACACAGUAAAACGCGUCCCAGGUUGCCGCCCGUUGCAAACACGUGGCAUUUCCUCAUCUAUUGGAAAAUUGUUUCCUGCACCCAGUGUAUAAAAGCAUUUUUGUACACCACAGUAUUAAUUAAAGAUUUUUAAAAAUAUUUUAAAAUUAAAAUCUAACUUAAGCACUAGAUGCAUAUAUAAAAUAUUUUAAAAUAUGAAACCCAUGGCCAACUAUAUUAGCCAGCUAUAUGAUUGAUAUCAUUAUUAUUGAUUAUUAACUUCACAAUAGUUAAUUUUUUUUUUUAAUAUCUUGUUAUUUUUUACUGAUAAGAAAUUUAAAUAAUAUAAAUCACAUAUAUUGAAUAAUAUUUUAAUUUCAAAAAGGGGUUAAACUUUAAAUACCAUCCCUAUGAUUUUGUACCUUUUCAUUUUUGUAUCGUGUGAUUUAAAAUGUAUCAAGUUAGUACCAUGUGGUUUAAUUUUUUUUUUUUCAUCAGCUCCUCCAUUAAUAUUUCGUUAAAUUAUAUACAAAAAAUUUCAGAUACCUUACCUAGAUUUAUCGAAUAUCAUUUGAAUACACUUUAGUUUUAAUUUUAUCACUGAUUUAAUGAAAAAAAUUAGUGAAAUGGAUGAUAAAAAAAGAAAAUUGAAAUCACAUAUUACUAAAUUAAUACACUUUAAAUCACAAGGUUGUAAAGUGAGAAAAUGCGAAAUCACACGGGUAGUAUUUGAAGUUUUUCCUUAAAAAAAAUACAUCAAUUAAUGUAAUACGAAAUGGAUACACCAGGUGCAUGGGGGACCAACCUGCCCCACGCAAUUCCCGCUCUUUUCUCCCCGUUUGGAUUUGUUGCUGUAGGGUGACCUGGAUUGCGACACCGACAUCCAAUAGGGAGGGGGGACAUGACACGUGGAGGAAAACGAUUGGCUGUGACGAAAAGAAAGAGACAUCUCGCCAACGGCUAAUAACCACAUAUUUUUUACACUUGAAACUUGGUCAAAUUAAUUAGUCAAAAUCGAUGGAACAAUUAAGAUUUUUUUUUUUUUCCUUUAGGAUAUUUUUGGUUCAUCUAUUUUAAUCUAUGAAUUUAGGAUAUUUUUGGUUCAUCUAUUUUAAACUAUGAAAUCAGAAUAAAAUUUAUUAAUUUUCAUAGUUAUUGUUUGAUUUAUAGAAAUCGGAUUUCGGUUCCUAUUCUACUCCGGAAUGGAAAUAUGACCGAAUUCAUUUAUGGCUCAAUUCAAUCUUGAAUCCCAAAUUGGUCCAAUCCAAAGAAAACUAUUCAAAAUUUUAUUUCUCCAACAUUUACCUCCUCUUUUUUAAUCAUUUUUCUUUCUCUUAAUCAAAUCCUCUUUCAAAAAUUUGAAAUUUCCAUUUCGAUUUCUAUUUCAAUAAUGAACCAAAUAUUUUUUGAUGAUUUGUCAUUUUAUUUUCCAUUACAAAAUAAUCCAAUUUUAUUUUUCAUUCUUAUUCCAAUUAUGAACCAAACAUGUCACUACAACAAAAACGGUCUAUAGCGACACUUUUAAAUAUCGGUAUAGAUCAAAAAAAGUGCUGUUGGCUAAUUAAAUUACCUAUACUUUUAAGAAGUGUUGCUAUAUGUGGGGUCGCUAGGUAUAUAGUGACAGUUAAAGAGUAUCGCUAUAAUCUAAAUGAGUGCUGCUAAUUUACCAAUAUUUAUUUAAGCAUCUAGCAACCGCCGGAACCCUACCUCGUUGGCUGCGGUGGCGGAUGAAGAUGAGAGGAAAGGAUUUUCGUUUAGGAUUUUAGUCGAUUGAAUAAGGGAAGAAGGGAAAAUGGUAAUCGAUUUUUCUUUUUUUUUUCUUUUUUUUUUUCUUUUCUGUUUGUAAUCGGGUCGAAUGGGCUGGGUGGAGUGGGUUGAGUAGAGUACCAUUUUAUUUUUAGUUGGAUUGGACUUUAUAUUUAGUAUUAGUAGAUUUUUUUUUAAAAUUUUGACAUAAAUGUGACACUUAUACAAAAAUGUCCCAAACAUGUGUCACUAUAACCUAAUUCUGUUGUAGUGUGUAUGCCUUUAAUGUAAUUACUUUUUCCAGCGAACAUCUGGUUAAAUACACAAAAACACAUGCAUGUGUGUUGGAUUGUAAGUAUAGUGGAUGAUAAAUAAAGUGAUAAAUUUUAAUUUUUAAAAGUAUAGAAAAUAAAUUACAAUUUCAAUAGAGUUUAGAUGAUUUUCGUUUUUUUUCAAGCCUAAAUUGGGCUUAUAAAGGUUCUCCGGUUCGCACAAAUUAAAAUCUAUUCUCAGGCAUGCUCCGUUCUUGGGGUUUAGGGUUUAAGUUACUAUAGUUUGAUAGUUUUCUGUAGAUUUUUUUUUUAUUUUUUAUUUUAAGGCAUUAAAAAGAAAAUUUCAGGAAUGAGGUCAAUAUUUUGCGUUUUUACGCCCUCAUAUGUUGAGCCCAUUAAGGGCCCAUUUGAUUUUUACUUCAAGAGCAUUUCACAAAAAUAAUAAAAAUCUAGAGCUUUUGUUGUAAUGAAAGGGGAAAAAACUUUUUCGAGGCCUUAGAGUGGAAUUACCAAUUUGAUUAUUUUGAUCUACUAUAGGAAAAAGCUAAAAAGGAUAUUAAUAAGCAGUGAAAAGUAUACUAAUAUUAAUUGUGCAUUAAUUGUAAUACUAAAGAGAAACAAGUGCCAACGUCAUGACUCUUUUCAUAUCCUCCCACGUGAGGAUUGUUGGUUACUUAUUAUUAGCUAAAAUAUAUAAGUCCAAUUUUCUGUUCUGAGAUAAUCCGUUCAGAAUAUUAAUAAGUUGAGUUGGAUAAGUUCAAUAAGUUGAGUAGGGUUGCGAUCCACAAUAAACCUAAUGGUAAGAGAUCCAAUAAUAAACCUAAUGUCGAGAUAGGUCGAGUUAGGUCGAAAUUCCUUGAGCGCUAAAAUUAAGCCUUUAAGUGCGACAGAUACGUCCUUUCUACCGGUACGGGUUUUUGAGAUAGUUUAUUAGUGCUUACAAUCCACAAGGAUAUAAAGCCAGAUUAUAGUUUUGUUGCUCUAUGUCCAUCAAAUAUGUGCUACAUGAAGUUUUGGCUUUGCAAUCCUAAAUUUUUUGGUUUUUAGUAGGCUACAGGUAUCAAUGAAAAUAUGUCCCUAGACUAAACCCAGCCAGUCAAAAUAUAGUCUGUAGUCUAUGUCACCAUGAAACUCCUUGACAAAAUCUAUAUAUAGAGGUAAAUUAAGAUGGGAAAUUUAUUAAAUAUAAUUAAAUCCUAAAUAUUUAAAAGAGAUUACUGAAACAAAUUUAUAAAAAUAAUAAGACUAAAAUACAGAAUAUUCAUCUAUAAAUAAUCGCUUUCUCACUUUAUAUAAAAUUUGAAGUGGUAGCAAUUAACUCAGCAUUGUUAUAAUUUCGUUAUUAUUCUGUGCAUAAAUUAAGUGGUUGUUGGCGCCGUACAAAACAGCGCCAUGUGGAAAAAAAGUUCGAACCGCGUGAGCAAAACGAUGAGAGCGAGGUCAGAGUAAAAGGGGGAAAGUGCCAAGGGAUAAGAGUGAGUACCUCUCAUUCCUCACUUGACUCUACUAGGACCUGUAGUGACACGUGGUGCGCGCACUUAGAGCCGAGAGGAGUACGCCUAAAAUGGAAGAACAGUUUAGAUGGGAGACCCACCGUCCCUAGAGCAAGUGGCAAAAGACUUGGUGGUUGGUACAUGCCCGAGACCCGAGUUCGAAUCCUAGUUGAUUCACACUUCCAGCUAUAUAAGUUUAUUUCUUAAUGAAAUAAACGAAGCGGGUAGCGCGCUAUCUAUCUCUCAAAAAAAAAAAAAAAAACAGUUUAGGUGGGAGUGACUAAAGACAUGGAAAAAAGAUUUCGUGGCCAGCAAGAGAUCAACCGAAACAUAACUCGAGGAAAUGGGGACGUGGCCGAAGGACCUCUACAAUAAGAUAUUAAACCAAUAACGGCAGGGGGGAGAAGAUAUUGCUAUAAAUAAAAAUAAUCGUGCUGUGAAAAGGGUCCUUCACACAAAUAAAAGACCAUAACAAAUUUUAAUUCCUUUUUUUUUACAUUUGCAGUUUUUUUAGAGAUAGUUCAGGGAUUGUCUUGUUUGUUCUCUUUUUCAGAGCUUAGUUAAGAGUGUGAUUAAAUAGUUCUAUAGGAGUAGAUUCUAUUUCUAUAACAACAUUUAUAAUUCCGCUUUCUUGAUAAAUAUAAACAGUUCGGCUCAUUUGGCCGAGCUUGCUUUUGAGUAAAUUGUGAAUAGUGGCGGAAGAACCCGGUUAAGCCGAUCCCUCCUCAAUUGAGUUGCUUGGUUCACUAAUGAUGCAUUCGAGGUCAUCCUAGGAGCCAACUCGUAUCCCAAAGAACAACCCGACUUCGUCAAUGCCUUGAUUUGGCCAGCGUUGUCUCGUAUUCGGUUUCUAGCCCAGCAAUGGUACAACUAAGAAAUUACUAAUAAUCUUAUUAAAUUUUAACAAAUGAUGAAAAGAAUUAGUAAAUAGGCGGGGAUCAAUCUCUCAUUAAUUUGGUGGGACAAAAUAUAGAAUUUUUAAAGAGAGGCAUGUGAAAUGGAUAAGCCGAUAUAUAUAGGGCGAUUUUCUAUUUUAUAGUCAAAUAAUAAUUUUUUAAAAUUUAAAAAAUAAGAUUUGAAAUUCUAAUUUAUUUUCUGUUGCAUCAGUUAUGGCGAAGCUAGAUAGCCCGAGGGUUGCAAUUAGCGAAGCUUUAAUUUGUUGGACCAUGAAGAGUGGACAACAUGGAUGAUAUAUAUGCGACGUGAUGUGAUUAAAUACCAGCUUUAGAAUUAGUGCAUUGUCAUAUGUUGAAUAUAUAAAUAUUAUUGUGGAGGAAUUAAUUUUAGGAUAUAAUGAAGAGGGGCAAUAGUUGUUGUAAAGGUGUAGUAAUAUUCAUGAGAGGGAAUGUCUCCUUAUUUCUAGAGUUGAUGAGUGUUGGGAAGUUAAAUAGUUAAUUUGAGNGUUGCCUCCUUUUCAAGAUAAUAAUUGGUUCCAACAAGCUCCUGGGGUUUAAUGAGCUCUAUUGUUAGUUGCUUUACUUCUUUAUCAAAAAUUUGGUUCAUGAGGAGUUUUUUUUUUUUUUUUUUAAACAAAUGUACGUUAGGGUGUUAGUCAGGAGGAAGUCUACUGCGUAACAUUUACACGACAUCGUCAAUAACCAGCCAAUCAUAUUCUCUUUUUGCAAAUAAAGUAUAAUAAAAAUAUUUUUUUAAUAACUAUCAUAGUAUGGGUGAAUCCAAAAAAAAUAAUCUAAUUGAUUGGAAACGCCACAUUAGCAGUAUAAUUGGUGCAUUCUGGACUUUUUCUUUAACUAGCUAGAGUGUCAGCUGGCAUAGUUGCUGGGAUAAAUAAAGUACGUAAAUGCUACUUAUACACCCCUGUAUAGGGAUAUACAUCUUACACCCUUUAAUCUUAGGACUCACAAAUUUUUAAUGGGUUUUAGUAGAAGAAAAAAAAUUGAUAAGACAAGUGAAUAAAUAUAAACCACGAAAUAUCUAGGGUGCAAAUUUUACACCUAGAUCAUAGGUGUACAUAUAGCAUUUGCUAAAACAUUAAAGGGUGUAGAGAACUCCCUAGAUAGGAGGAGUUGGGAUUUGCUUGUUUGGACAAAACAAGAGUUUGUAGUAUUGAAUGGGAAGGAGUUCUCAUGAAACAUGAAUAAUCUAACAAAUGGCAGUGUAUUAGAAAUGUGUUGAUUGUACAAAUAUUAAAUACAUCUUCCUUGUUAGCUUAAGUUUUUCGAAAUAAAUAUUGCUUUCAUAUAAUCUAAAAUACACAGAUGUAGUUGAUAGCUUGGUGCUAACUUAUGAGCAAAAUUUGAUGAUAGAUUUGGAUCCCAAAGGUACCCCAAAACACAGAUAUGGUCAGAAUUAAGUACUAUAUGUCAUGUAAAUUAAAACUCAAGUACUAUGUCAUAUAAAAAUUUACAAGGAUAUGGGACUAGUAAUUAAGUAAAAGAGCUGGCUUUUUUUUGUGAAAUAAAAGAGGCAAUGUUCCAACCAUGAUCACUGAGAAAAGUAAUGAAGUGCGAGCUUGUGAACUCAUUACACCAUUAGAUGGAAAAUAUCACAAUCUAGUAAAAUGUUAAAAAUUUGGAGAAAGUUUCAGGUUUUGCAUAGAGAGAAAAUAUCCAAAUAGAAUGAGCAUUGUGAGACCCCAAAUAGUCCUAUAUAUAAGAUGUAAUAGGGCUAAAACUCUUAAUCCGGCUUAAGUAUUUUAGGUGGUGGCAAGGACCAAGAGAUUAAGAGAGUUAAGCGUGCUCGGACGGGAGUAGUCCUAGGAUGAGUGACCACCUAGAAAGUUGGGGCGUCACAGUUGGUAUCAGAGCUAAUUACCAGCCGGAAAUGUGAGAUGAGUCUCGGCUGAGUCGGGGUCGGAAUGACAAGGCUAGCGAGACGAGUCUCACAUCGCCUGAUACUUAUGAAUUUGAGCCUGACAAGGAUGUUAGGGCUUAAAGAGGGAGAGAUUGUGAGAUCCCAGAUAGUCCUAUAUAUAAGGUAUAAUAGGGUUAAACUCUUAACCCGACUUAAACAUUUUGAGUGGUGGCAAGGUCCAAGAGGUUAAGAAAGUUAAGCGUGCUAGAACAGGAGUGGUCCUAGAAUGGAUGACCUCCUGGAAACUUGGAGCGUCACAAGCAUGCUCAUUGAGGAAAAGAAUAUAGUAAUUAUUUAACGAAGGCGCGAUUUAUUAUGUAUGAGUUCACAAAGUACAGGAACCGACAGACUCAACGUGCAUGCUUUCCAAAGCCAAGGAGCAGGUGCAGUACAUGUGAUACAUUAAUUUAUAUUUAUUUCUAUAUAUAACAAGGACAUGAUCGACUUGAGAAUUAACGUGCGCCAAACAUUGUUACCAUGCAUAUAGUCGCGAUAUGCCGAGUUGCAUCAAACGAAGAAUGAGGAUCUUCGUUACAGAAUGGACAUAUGUAGGCCUUGAUUACUGCACCUAAAAGGGUUUGCUUCCAUCCUUCCAUGAUCCUUCACACAAAAAUUGGAUUGUGAAAAUAUGAAGACAAAAUCCUGAUCAACAACAAAAUUAUUCCUAACUUGGAGAAGAUUCUUUCAAAGAGUUGGAACUAAAACAAAAUUAUCUAUAGCAAAUGCAGUGGAAGGUGUGUAAAGUAGAAGAUCCAAGCAGUAAUAGGUAAAAAAACAAGAACCAUUGCCAUCGCAAAUUUUAUCGCUAGCAUAAUACAGAAAGGAAAGGAGAGGAGAAGAAGCAAGAGAUGCAUAACUGUUGCUCGAAGAAGUGUGGCUCACUAUAAGAAAAUCAUAAAAUCAUAAAAUAAAAAAGCUUUUUAGAUGGCGUUUGGGGGAAGCGUCCCUAAGCGUUUCUACAAUAAAGCAAAUACCUAUGUUUCAAAAAGCGUCAUCAUAUGAACCAUCUAUUGUAUCAAAAUAAUUUAUUAAAUGAUAAAUUUUAUUAUUAUUUUUAAUUUUUUGACGUUUUAAAGAGUCGUGAUUCAAAAAUUCUGACGCUUUAAAACGUCAAGAUAUAUUUUAUCGACGGUUGACAUAAGUGUCAAUAUAUACAUGGUUAUUUGUCAAUGCUUUCAAAUGUGAUGCUAGAUUAUAUAUAUAGAAACGCAUAUAGAAAUGUUUUUAAUUAUCGUUAAAUAUAUAUAAAAAAAAAAUAGCAUCCUUAAAUUUUAAUUUUCUUGCAGUGACUGCUGCUUGAAGGACGAGAAGAGCCACAAAAUCAAGUUUUUGUCCUUGGCUCGAAGGACAAGAACCACAAAAUCAAAGUUUUUUUUUUUUUUUAUUGUGAUUAAUAUAAGUAGAGGAAUAUUAUACUAGGAUUAGCGACAAGAGCAGCAUUAGAUGCUAAAUGAUUAGGAGAAUGACGCGAAGCAAGAGGUUCUUCACAAUCUAAUACAAGGGAUCAAGAACGCUCAAAAGAAUAAGAAAGGUGGUUAAGCAAUUAUUUGACCAAGCUAUCAAACUGAAUCCGAAAUCCAUCAAAAUCUUCAUGACAAAUCAUGGUCAGACAUGGCAAUCCACAUUGGACCCGGUUGAUCACUUAGUCCUUUUAUUUUAUUUUAUUUUUUGGGAUUUAAAAUUUGAGCUUAAUGAUUGCUUUACAUUGGUAAGGGCCCAGACCAGAUCUUGCCUAGAUCUGGUCUAACCUCGGUAAGGGCCAACGACUUACCUGAGAUGGAGCCGUUGUUGGAGUUGUUGGACCCUACCGUUCGCCUCUUACCUAUAUACAGAGGGGAGAGUGCACUUGAGAAAAGAUACAGGACUUAGCCUGAGCUUCACCUCUUGAUCAUCUUCUUCCUCAGCUCCUUGUGCUCUGAACUUCAUCUCCUUUCACACUGAGUUUCACCUAUUUCUAUAUUGUGCUUUCCAUAUUUUGCCAGAUCUUUUAAAGCCUAGUGGGUUCGUGGUGCACCAUUUUUAAGACGUGCCGACAGGGUGGACAGUGGUUGUUGUAUCGCUAUGAGCGAUUACCGGAGCCUUGCACGUAGAGGGGCAAUUUCGUUUUUAGGACAGUGCUUUAGCAUGUCUCGACUCACAGAUUUCAUCCAUUCUCUUCUUCCUAAUAUUUAUUUAUUGAUUCUUACAUGCUGUUAAAAUACUUGUUUAAGUUUUGUGUUUCAAAAUAUUUUCAAAAGAAUAUAAUUUUUGCUAAAAGAUUAGAAAGAUUUUUCCAACAGUAAAGGCCAGGCAACCGCCUGAUCAACGAAAAGCUGAAUAAUUAAUGGAACUAGUGAAGGCCCGCGCUUCGCCGCGGGAAAUUUACGCAAUUUCUAAAAUUUUUUAAAUAGAUUAUUCAACAUUGUUUGCUAAAAUUGGUUAUAAAAAUUAAGUAAAAUCAAAAUAAACAAUUAAAUAUUUAAAAUUUAAAAUUUUUUAUUAUCCAAAAUUUAAAUGUAAAUUUAGAAUAUAAAAUGUUCAAGCUUAAAAUUUAAAUUUUAACAUAUGAAAUUGAAAUCUCAAUAUUUGGAAUUAAAUAUUUGAAUUUUUUAAAUUCAAUCUAUAAUUUAAUAUAUAUUUAAAAUAUUGAAACUUGAAAUUUGAAAUUUAAAAUUUAAAAAUCUUAUAUUUUAUCUUAAUUACUAAAACUAAAUUUUAAAAGUUUACAAUUUUAUAUUUUAAAUUUCAGUUUUUGAAUUUUUAAUAUUAGAUUUUGUAUGAAAUUUUGCUGAAUUCUAAAUGUUUUUAUGUAAUUCUAACCUUUCAUAAUUCUGAAUUCGGAAAUAUCGUUGAUGUAAUUUCGAAUUCUGAAUUCUAUCCUUUUAUACGCAUCAAAUAUCCUGAUGUAGUUCAGAUCCGAAUUCUAAAUUUUAAACGUUACAUGCAUCGAAUAACUCAGCAAGCAGGAAUUCAGCUAGGGAAUUCAAAAUUCCAUGAAGAAUAUAGAGAAAAUAACUAUACUUUGUUCAAACUGUCCUAGCCGGUUUAUUUCUUAUUUUCGAGUUUCGGCCAAACCUAAGGAUAACUGAGUUGUAGAGAGUAAGGAGUUAGGUAGGAUGGUCAUUGAUAAGCUACACCGCUACUAUAGUUCUGAACUUACUGGAAAGAUGUUUGUGUAUGAUGCGGGAAAAAACCUAUUCACAUUAGGAUCUCUCCCACAAAAUAAUUUCGAGAAUUUUAGAAUUAAUAUUCAGAAUUUAGAACUUAGAAUCUACAAUUCAUAAUGCAAAUUCAUACAAAAUGUUGCUUAUGGCAGAAACUAUAUUUUUUUAUUUGAGACACAUAGAAAAAGCAAAUAAUUAAACAAACAAAUAUAUAUAAUUUUCAAAAUUUUAAAACUUAUAAUUUUAGUAUAAAAUUUAAAAUCUACAAUUUAGAAACUAAAAUUUAAAAUUUAAAACAUAAAAAAUUUAAAAUUUAGUUUUUGUAAUUAAGGAAAAAUAUACAAUUUUAAAUUGUAAGUUUCAUUUUAAAUUUAAACAUUCAAUAUUUUAAAUAUUAAACUACAAAUUGAAUUUAAAAAAAACAAAUACUAAACUUUAAAUAUUGGAAUUUUACUUUUAAAUGUAAAAAUUAAAAUUUUAAGUUUUGACAUUUUAUAGUAGGCGCAAUUUUGCAAAAGGUAAAUCCAAAUCAUCAUACAUCUGCAACGUAACAAAACUAAAAAUCCGUAAAAAACUAAUAGUAAGAACUAAAUAUCAAUAGUUGCAUAACAACAAUAUGAUAUAUAUACCGGAAGUACCUGAUUCAGUGGUUUCUUGUAAUAUGGAACCAGCGAACCAACCUACAUAAAGAAGCCCUAAUUUGCAUCAUAAAAUUGGAGUAAGAUAAUAAUAAGAAUUGCUUCAGAUAGUUGUACAUUAUUUGGAUGAGUCAAAGAUAUCUACUUACAGACUCACCACUUGCAUUCAUAAAAGUUUGACGUUUGGCAAGCAUGACAGGAGAAUCGCGAAUACGGCCUGCAUAUAAAACAACUAAAAUAUAUUAAAAUAUAUCUAAAUCAAAGUAUAUAUAUUCUGUAUUACGUUACUAACAAGGUUUGCAAUUCCCAGCAUAAAAUGAGCAAAUAAUUAAACAAACAAAGAAAAAAUUGCAUAUUUAUUUGCGGAUAUUAGCCUACACCUAAGUUAAGCAGAUUAAUUGGUUAUCAUAAGUUAGAAUUAAAAGAUGGCUUAGGUGGCAAAUGAUUAAUAUACUACAAAAGUUCGCAACACAUUCCUACAAAUAAAAGAAUCAGUCAUUUGGUACAUCCAAAGAAUAAUGUUGAUUCACAUGUACAGAUUCAUCUUCUCUCCUAAAUUAAAUAGGAAAAAGAAGAAUUAUAAAUGCGUAUAUAAUGAUACAAAUUUCUGUAUACGAAAAAUACUAUCUGUACAUCUACAUAUAAGUGUAAACCUUAUAUUACCUUCACAUCAAAAAUUACAUUUAUAUCUAAUAACAAUAGUCUAAAUUAUUUCAUAUUUAUUUAUAUAUUUUAUAUUUUAUAUAAAAAUAAAUAGCAAAUUAUGUAAUAAAUUAUUAUAUAAUAAUAUAUUAUUAUCUAUAUAAAAGCAAAGUAUAUAUAUAUAUAUAGUAGAGAGGAGAGAGAGAGAGAAUUAAUAAAUAUAAUAUGUUGAUAAAUAAAUUUAUAUAGAUUUAUAUAUAUAUAUAUAUAUUAUAUAGUUAUAAUAUAUAAUAUAUUAUUAUCUAUAUAAAAGCAAAGUAUAUAUAUAUAUAUAUAGAGAGAGAGAGAGAGAGAGAAGAGAGAGAGAGAGGAAUUAUAAAUAUAUAUUUUAAAAUAAAUUUAUAAUAUAUAUAAUAUAUACAUAAAAUUAUAUAUAUAUAUAUAUAUAUAUAUAUAUAAUAUAUAUAUAUAUAUAUUAUAUAAUAUAUAUAUUAUAUAUAUAAUAUAAUAUAUAUAUAUAUAGAUUAUAAUAUAUAUAUAAGAAUUAAUAUAUAAUAUAUUAUCCUUAUAUAAAAAAGUAUAUAUAGUAUUAUAUAUAUAUAGACGAGAGAGAGGAGAGAGAGAGACGAGAGAGAGAGAAUUAUAAAUAUACUAUGUUAUAAAUAAAUUUUUAUAAUAUAGAUAGUAAUAAUAAGAAAUUAUAUAUAUUAUUAGAAUUAUAAAAUGAUUAUAUAUUAAAUUAUUUUUUAUACUUCUCUACUCAUCAUCUCUCUUUCAUCUAUAAUAUAUAUAAUGUUUUAAUAAUAAAUUAUAUAAUAUAAAACUAAAAUAUUAAUAUAUAUAUAUAUAGAAAUAAUUAUAUAAGAAUUAUAUAUAUAUAUAUACGAAGAGAGAGAGAGAAUAUAAAAUAUACUAUAAUAAUAUAGUAUUUAUAAAUAAAUAAGAAAUAAUAUAGGAGAGAGGAGAGAAUUAUAUUUUAUAUAUACAAUAUAUAUAUAUGAAUUAAUUAUAUGAUAUAUAUAUAUAUAAUAAAUUAUAUAUAGAAAUUGAUAUAUAUAUAUAAUAUAAAUAUAAGAGGAGACGAGAGAAGAGAGACGAGAGAGAUUAUGACAAAAAAUAUACUAUAAGAUAAUAUUUAUAAAUAAAUAAAAAAAAUAUAAGAGAGAGAGAUUAUAUUAUAUAUAACAUAUAUACACAAUAUAUUUAUAUAUAGUAUAUAUAUAUNNNNNNNNNNNNNNNNNNNNNNNNNNNNNNNNNNNNNNNNNNNNNNNNNNNNNNNNNNNNNNNNNNNNNNNNNNNNNNNNNNNNNNNNNNNNNNNNNNNNNNNNNNNNNNNNNNNNNNNNNNNNNNNNNNNNNNNNNNNNNNNNNNNNNNNNNNNNNNNNNNNNNNNNNNNNNNNNNNNNNNNNNNNNNNNNNNNNNNNNNNNNNNNNNNNNNNNNNNNNNNNNNNNNNNNNNNNNNNNNNNNNNNNNNNNNNNNNNNNNNNNNNNNNNNNNNNNNNNNNNNNNNNNNNNNNNNNNNNNNNNNNNNNNNNNNNNNNNNNNNNNNNNNNNNNNNNNNNNNNNNNNNNNNNNNNNNNNNNNNNNNNNNNNNNNNNNNNNNNNNNNNNNNNNNNNNNNNNNNNNNNNNNNNNNNNNNNNNNNNNNNNNNNNNNNNNNNNNNNNNNNNNNNNNNNNNNNNNNNNNNNNNNNNNNNNNNNNNNNNNNNNNNNNNNNNNNNNNNNNNNNNNNNNNNNNNNNNNNNNNNNNNNNNNNNNNNNNNNNNNNNNNNNNNNNNNNNNNNNNNNNNNNNNNNNNNNNNNNNNNNNNNNNNNNNNNNNNNNNNNNNNNNNNNNNNNNNNNNNNNNNNNNNNNNNNNNNNNNNNNNNNNNNNNNNNNNNNNNNNNNNNNNNNNNNNNNNNNNNNNNNNNNNNNNNNNNNNNNNNNNNNNNNNNNNNNNNNNNNNNNNNNNNNNNNNNNNNNNNNNNNNNNNNNNNNNNNNNNNNNNNNNNNNNNNNNNNNNNNNNNNNNNNNNNNNNNNNNNNNNNNNNNNNNNNNNNNNNNNNNNNNNNNNNNNNNNNNNNNNNNNNNNNNNNNNNNNNNNNNNNNNNNNNNNNNNNNNNNNNNNNNNNNNNNNNNNNNNNNAAAAAAAAAUCCCCGAAGCCCCCGCGAAACGCGGGGAAGACGCCGUACAAACUCAGCUUUUACUAUAUGUAUUGAUUGAUCCCAUAUUUGUCUAGCAUUAGCUUAAAUAUAAGAUUGGUCAUAUAGAUGUUGGAUAAGUUCAGAAGAAGUAACUGAGUUGAUGGAUGCAUGAAGUAAAAACGACAUCAAGUUGAUUGCACAGAGAAAAUGCAGGAUCAAGAAUAGAAGUAUUUUAACAUCAUUAGAAAUAGAUUUAGGAGGACACAUAUCCAAACUAAUGACAUGGCCUUAGGGGUGGAAACGAGCCGAGCACAAGCAAGCUUGUCUUAGCUCAAAUUCGGCUUGAAAUUAAUUUCGAGCCUAAAUUUAGGCUCAAGUUUGGAUUGAAAUUAAUUCGAGCCGAGCUUGAGCGAGCCUAAUUUCGAGUCGAGCGAGCUGAAGCCCUAAACGAGCCGCUUGAAAUUCUCAAUAUCAUAGGGCCAAUUGUUUAAUUUGUAUAAAAUAUUAUCUACAAUUUGAAACAAAAACAUAUCUAAUAGUUCAAGAUAUAAAAUAAUUAUAUGAAAUACAGUAUUAUAAUAUGAAGAAAAAAAGUUUAUGAGUUGAAUAUCUAAUCUUUUCAGCUUCGCAUGUCGAUCUUCUCUUCCACCUUCAAUCUCCACAUUAUUUUUUUUCAUUUAUGCGGUCAAAAAAUGAAUAAAUUAUAUUGGCAAAUAUUGGAUUAAACUAUCCAAUCAUAUAUAACUAAAAAUCAAAAUUUUGUAUAAACAAUAAGUUUUUACUUUAAAAAUAUUCUGUAUAUUUUUUCAAACACACAAUUAAUGACAAGGUAGGCAACGGCGGACGCGUGUUGUUAUUUGGCAACUUGGGAGGAUUCAGACUUGGCCGCUUAGGGUGAAAGACAGAGAAAAAGAGAGAGAGAGAGAAAGAGAUUAGGGAUUUAAAGCUCUGUGAAAGAAAAAGAGGGAGAGAGUGUAAAUUUAGUGAAAUUUUGCCCUUUUGUUUGUCUAUUGGGCUUGUUUUUAUGGGCCAGCAAUAUUGGCCUAAUUUUAAUUAAAUUCAGAUUACUCACUCAGCCUAUAUAUAAUUAAAAUAUAUUAUAUUUAUAUAUUUUUUAAUAUAUAUAUAUAUAUAUAUAUAUAUAUAUUCGAGCUUUUCGAGUCUAAUUCGAGCGAGCCAAGUAAUACUCAAGCUCGGUUUGAAAUGAAUUUUGAGCCUUUUCUUUUGGUCAAGCUCGGCUUACUUAAUUUCAAGUCGAGCUCGAGCGAGUCGAAUAUCGAGCCAACGUGAGCCGACUCGCUCACUUGCCAGCCCUACAUGGCUUUCAAGACCAUAUAUAUGCUAGCUCAAGGAACAUAUGUAAAGACACUUCCAAAAUAACAUAUAAUCUUGAGAAUAAGAAGUUGUUAGUAAAAAUUUCAAAAUUCUCUAAUUAUUAUUUUCUUUAAUAUAUUUUAGUACUAUUAUUUAAUUUAUUAUUAAUUUAAUUAACCUAAGAUUUUAUUGUGAACGUUUCGGCUUGUGUCUCAUGCACACCGGCUCUUCGCGCUCCACUACUCUGUACACGUUAUAAUUACAUCAUAGUAUAUAGGGCUCGUUUGGUUCGAGUUAUGUAAUAUUACAAAGUAUCUCGACAUAUCCAGGUAUCUUGGAUUUCGGCGUGAGAUUACUACUGAUACUGCAUUAGAGCAUUUGGUUUAAUACAGUAAUAUAAUACUAGAUUACAGUGUUUAUAGCAUUAAUAUAUUUGGUUCAGUUUAUAAAAUUUAGUAAUCCUGACAUAAAAGUAUAGUUUUUUUCAAAAUUCUCCUUGUUGUGGUCAUUUGAAUAUUAUUUUUUGCAGAAAUGACGAAUGGAGGGAAGGAGAUCGUGAUGAUUACUUGAAAGGACAAUGCAAUAGAAGAUGAUAGGUGUUCGUGCGAGAGAAAGAGAGAGAGAGAGAGAGAGAGCGAGAGAAAGCGGCGUGCGAGAGAGAGGGCUGGGGGGAAGGAGAGAGAGAGAUGAAAAUAAUGCUGUUAAUUAGAUUUGGGGUUGUUUGAGGGUAAAAUUGUCAUUUUAUAUAAUAUGUAGUAUUAAAGGGUUUCAGUAAUGCAAGAUACACGGCCCCCCUCCCGUUAAUAUUUUCGAUGUAAUCCUGCUCGAUUUGUAAUGCUAUAUUAACGACUAGAUUACAUAUCGGAUUAACCAAACACAGUUAUCCUAACAGAAUUGCCUAUAAUCCUGCCAGGAUAACUGGAACCAAACACACCCAUAUAUUAAUGUCUGCAGGGCGCUCUCUUGUUCAUGUGAAUGCAUACAUAUAUGAAUGAGAGCUGCUGAUUAAAAGGAUAAUUUUCAACAGUUAAUUUUAAUUUUUUUUUUAGUAUUUUCAUUCAUUUUAUUUGAUCUUUUUAUCGCCGAGUGUUGAAAGAGAUUUUGUCAACCUCUUUCGCGUUCGUGCUCGUAGGAGUAGUUCCGAUCGUACCUUGGGAUGGUGUUUCUGGUUAAUCCCGCACGAAGGACAGAAAAACGCCUUAGGGUAGUACUAUGCAUGCUUCCGGAUGAGUCAAAUUAUUUAUUUAUUUGGAUUUUAGCGUUCACCUGUAAGUACAUUUAUUAAUAUUCAUCACAAAAUUUGGUUAGAUUUUAAUUAUAAUCGAAUUUCGGUGCGGUAAAUUUAUGUAACAUAGGUGACUAAGACAAACUAGGUUGGCACAAGGUUUGUAAUAUAUAUUGAAAGCCUGAAUGAAUAGGGGGGCUCACUCUGAUGAUAAAAACUCACUACUAUAAAUUCAUGAUUUAGCGACAUUUACUCCGUAGCAUUUAUUUAAAUAACGCUAAUUAAUAUAUUUAACAGUAUUACUUGAUAAGUGCCGCUAAAUUUAAUAAUUUAUCAGCAAUUUACUAUUAAUGUUGCAAAAUAUAAUAAAUUAGCAACAUAAAUUUGUGAAUGCCGCCGAAGUUUUCACCAUUUUAUAAAAAAUGACACUAAAUCUAAUAAAGUAGCAGCACUUAUUGCUAAAUGCCGCAAUAUUUGCUCCGUAAUAUUUAUUUAAAUCAUGUCAAUUAAUAUAUUUAGCAGCAUUACUUGAUAAUUGCUGCUAGAUUUAAUUAUUUAGCAACAAUUUACUAUUAAUGUUACAAAAUAGGAUAAAUCAGCAGCAUAAAUUAGUAAAUGCCGCUAAAUAUAAUAAACUAGCAGCACUUGUUACUAAUUAUCAUUACUAAUUAAUAUAUAAUUAUUAAUUUAUUCUUUUUUAUUUAAAAUUAAAAAUUUUAAAUUUACAGUUUAAAAUUAGAAACAUAUAAUUUAAAAAUUAAACUUAUAAUUUAAAAUUUUAAAUUCUAAAAUUUUUAAUUUUUAAAUUUUAAAUUUUAAAUUUUUAAAUUUAUUUUAAAUUUCAAAUUUCAAAUUUAAAACUAUUAAUUUUGCAACUUAAAAUUUCAUAUUUCAAAAUUAAAAAUUUAAAUUUAGUAUCUAAAUAUAAAAAUUUAAAAUUUAGAAUUUUAAAAUUUUAAAAUAGAAAACUUAAAAUUUAAAAAAAAUUAAAAUAUACAUAAUUAAUAGUCGCUAGCGCAAGUGGCAAAGGGCUCGAUGGUUGGUAUUUGAGGUCUCAAGUUUAAAUCCUAGUUGAUUCACAUUUCCAGUAAAAUUUAUUUAAAAAGAAAUAAACGAAGCGGGUAGUAUCUCAAAAAAAUUAAAAUUUUAAAAUUUUAAUUUAUAAAAUCAGAUAUUUGUAUUAGUGGCAUUAUAUUUAUGUGACACUAAUAAAAAAUUUAAAAUAAGUAUUUAAUCCAUUUUAGCGGCAUAUUCCUAAUGACACUAAUUGAUUUAUAUUGGCGGUAUUUAUAAUAAAUGCUGCUAAUACUUUUAGCAACAUUAGUAUAGGCAGCAUUUGGUAUCAUAUGCUGCUAAAACUUUUAGCAGCAUUUGUUGAUUAUUCAGCAACAUAAAUAAAUGCCAUUAAUGAUUAAUUUUCUAGUAGUGACUACUUGGGAAGAAUAGAGAGAAUUAGAUGAAGGAGUGGGAGAAUCAUGCACCCACUGAGAAGGAACUGAAGAAAUAAGGAGCUGUUGUAGCUUUGAUACUAGAGCAAUGCUGUAAGGACUGAGAUUUUUGCAGUGUAGCUAAACUCUCAGUUGACGAUGUUUUUGUGUGUAAUUUAAUUAUAAAAGCACUCGUCAAGUUUCGGGCGAAAUCGAGUUAAAACGGAAAUUCUACGCGAUUUCCAAGUUUCACUUAAAGUGAAUAGUAACUCGAUUUUCCGGAGAAGCCGCGGUGAGAAGUUGGCUUCUUGCUCGUACCGGACUCUGUUCAUAGCAGUCCAAUAGCUCGUUUCGACUGGGUCAGCUAUUCUGGAACUAAUGGCGCUGACGGAUUUUGAGUUCGACGCACGGAUUUCGAGAAAAUCAAAAAAUACAUGUUUUACAUGUAUUUAUGUGUGUGUUUUCUUCUAUUCGAAGAAAGUUGGAUUUUGUCGUGAAUCCGUGGUCGAUCAAGACGAAACAAAAUCGUAGCCUUGUUGUCUCCGUCGUGCUGAUCGCACUGGUGCAAUCCGUUCGCAAAUCUGACGGACGGAUCUGCGGAGAUCGCGCGUUGAUCGAGGACCCAAGAAGGAUGAGAGGGGAGCCGAGAAAAGAAGAGAUGACGAGAGGAGAGAGGCCAGGGUAUAAAAAAAAAAAAAUUCCCCGAACAGCCUCGGCCGCGAAAGCGGGGAAGACCCUGUAAAACUCAGCUUUUUAUAUAUGUAAUUGAUUGAUCCCAUAUUUGUCUAGCCAUUAGCUUAAAUAAAGAUGUCAUAAUAAUGAUUUGGGAUAAGUUCAGAAGAAUAACUGAGGUUAGAUGCAUAAGUAAAAAACGACAUCAUUGAUUGCACAGAGCAAAUGCAGGAAUCACCGAAUAUAAUUAUUCUUAACAUCAUUAGAAAUAGAUUUUAGUUAGGACACAUUAUCCAAACUAAUGCACAUGCCUUAGGUGCAACCGCCGAGCACAAGCAAAAGCUUUUGUCUAGCUCAAAUUGCUUGAAAUAUAAUUUUUCGAAGCGCUAAAUUUAGCUCAAAGUUCUGCGAUUGCAAUGUAAUUUCGAGCCGAUAUGAGCGACGCUAAUUUCGAUCGAGCGAGCUGAAGCCCUAAACGACCGCUUGAAAUCUCAUAUCAUAGGGCCAAUUGUUAAUUUUAAAAAUAUAAUCUACAAUUUGAGAACAAAAACAUACUCUAAUAGUUAAGAUUAUAAAAUAUAUUAGAAGAUAACAGUAUUAUUACAAUAUGAAAGAAACAAAGUUUAGAGUUGAAUUAUCUAAAUCUUUCCAGCUUCGCAAUGGUCGAUCUUCUCUCCACGCUUCAUCUCCACAUUUAUUGUUUUUCAAUUUAUGCGGUCAAAAAUGAAUAAAAUUAUAUUGGCAAAUAUUGGAAUUAAACGAUCCAAUCAGAUAUUAACUAAAUCAAAUUUUGUAUAAACAAUAAGGUUUUACUAAUUAAAAUAUUCUAGUAUAUUUUUCAAUUACAACACAAUUAAUGAAAGAGUAGGCAACGCGAACGUUUUGUUAUUGCAACUUGGAGGAUCAGGACGUUGGCCGCUUAGGGUAAAGACAGAGAAGAAGAGAGAGAAGAGAAAGAGAUUAGGAUUUAAAGCUCUGUGAAAGAAUAAAUAAAGAGGGAGAGAGUGUAAAUUCUAGUAAGAUUUUGCCCUUUUGUUUGUUCUAUUGGGCUGUUUUUAUGGCCAGCAAUAUUGCCUUACAUUUUAAUUAAAUUAGAUUACUCACUCAAGCCCUAUAGAUAAUUAAAAUAUAUUAUAUUAUAUAUUUUUAAUAUAUAUAUUAUUAUAUAUAUAUAGUGAUAUUCGAUGCUUUUCGAGUCUAAUUCGAGCGAGCCAGGUAAUAUUCUACUCAGAGCUGCGGUUUGAAAUGAAUUUUGAGCCUUCUUCUCGUUUGUCAACUCGUCUUACAUUAUAGUUGCAAGUCUGACUCGAGCGAGUCGAAUAUCAGCCAACGUGAGCCGACUCGCUCACUUUGCAGCCCUACAUGGCUUGUCAAGACCAUAUAUAGUGCUAGCUCAAGCGAACAUAUGUAAAGACACUUCCAAAAAACAUAUAAAUUGAUGAUAAGAAGUUGUUUAGGUAAGAAUUUCAAAAAUUCUCCUAAUUAUUUAUUUUCUUUAUUAAUUUAGUACUAUUAUUUUAUUUAUUAUUAUUUUUAAUAACCUAAGAUUUUAUUGUGAACGGUUUGCGGCUUGAUGUCCAUGCACCCGGCUCUUCGCGGCGUCCACACUCUGUACACGUUAUAAUUAGCAUAAGUAUAAGGGCGCGUUGGUUCGAGUAUGGUAAUUUACAGAAUAUCGUCGACAAUUAUCUAGGUAUCUUGGAUUUCGGCGUGAGAUUAACUACUGAUACUGCAAUUAGAGCAUUUGUUUAAUACAGAUCAAUAAUACUAGAUUACAGUGUUUUUAUAGCAUUAAUAUUUUUGUUCAUUUAUAAAUUUGUAAUCUGAAUAAAAGCUAAGUUUCUUUUCCAAAAUUUCCUUGUGUGGUCAUUUGAAAUUAUUUUUUGGCAGUAAAUCGAAUGGAGGAGUGAAGAAGUCGUAGAUUUACUGAAAAGGACAAUCAAUCCAGAAGAUAAUAGGUGUCCGUGCGAGAGAAAAGAGAGAAGAAUGAGAGAGAAGAGCAGCGAGAGAAAGCGCGUGCAGAGAGAGAGGCUGGGGGAAGGAGAGAGAGAAUGAAAAUAAUGGCUGUUAAUUAAGAUUGGGCUUGUUUGAGGGUAAAAUUUGUCAAUUUUAUAUAAAUUAGAUAUAAAGGGUUUCAGUAUAUGCAGAUAUAAACGCCGCCCCUACCGUUAUAUAAUUUUCGAAUGUUACAUCACGCUCGAUUUGUUAAGCUAUAUUAAAGACUAGAUUACAAUAUCGGAUUAACAAACACCAGUUAUCCUAACAACAAUUGCCUUAAUCCUGCAGAUAACUGGAACCAAACACAGCCCUAUAAUAUUAAUUCUGCAGGGCGCUCUCUGUUCGAGGAUGAAGCAUAACAUGAUAUGAAUGAGAGCUGCUGGAUUAACAGGAUAAUUUCAAAGUUAAUUUUAAUUUUUUUUUAGUAUUUCAAUUCAUUUUAUUUGUAUCUUUUUAAUCGGAAGUUGUGAAAGAGAUUUUGUCACCUCUUUCCGGCGUUUCGUCUGUAAGGAGUAGUUUCCGAUCGAUUACUUUGGAUGGUGUUUCUGGUUAAUCCCGCGACGAAGGACAAAAAAACGUCCUUAGGAGUAACUAUGCAUGCCUUCCGGAUGAGUCAAUUAUUAUUAUUUGGAUUUUAGCGUCACCCUGUAAGUAAUUAUUAAUAGUUCAUCACAAAAUUCUGUUAGAUUUUAAAUAUAACGAUAUUUCGUGGGCGGUAAAUAUAUGUAAAUCAGUGACUAAAGACAAACUAGGUUGCAACAAGGGUUGUAAUAUAUAUUUGAAAAGGCCUGAUGAAUGUGGGGGCUCACUCUGAUGAUAAAACUCACUACUAUAAUUAUUAUGUUUAGCGACAUUUUACUUCCGGUAGCAUUUAUUAAUAUAACUGCUAAUCUAAUUAUUACAGUAUACUUUGAUAAGUGCGGCUAAGUUUAAUAUAUUUAUCAGCAAUUACGUAUUACAUGUUGGCAAAAGAAUAAUAUAUAGCAACAUAAAAUUUGUGAAUGCCGCCGGAUAGUUUUCAUCCAUUUUAUAAAAAAUGACACUAAAUCUAAUAAAUAGCAGACUUAUUGCUAAACCGGAAAAAAAAAAAAGAAAAAAAAAAAAAAAAACAAAAAAAAAAAAAAAAAAAAAACGCAAUAUUUGCUCGUAAUAUUAUUAAAUCAUGUCAAUAAUAUAUUAAGGCAGCACAUUACUUGAUGAAUUGCUGCUGAUUUAAUUUAUUACGACAAAUUUACUAUAAUGUUACACAAAUGGAGGAUAAAUACAGCAGGCCAUAUAAAUUAUAAUGCCGGUAAAUAGUAAUAAACUAGGGCAGCACUUUUACUAAUUAUCAUUAUAAUUAAUAUAUAAGUUAUUAAUUUUUCUUUUUUAUUUAAAAAUUAAAAAUUUAAAUUUACAGUUUAAAUUAGAAAACAUAUAUUGUAAAAUAAACUUAUAAUUUAAAAUUUUAAAUUCUAAAGAUUUACAUUUUUAAAUUUUAAAUUUAAAUUUUAAAUUUAUUUUAAAUUUCAAAUUUCAAAUUUAAAACUAUUAAUUUGGCAACUUAAAUUUCCAUAUUUUCAAAUUAAAAAUUUAAAUUUAGUAUCUAAAAUAUAAAUAAUUUAAAAUUUAGAAUUUUAAAAUUUUAAAAUAGAAAACUUAAAAUUUAAAAAAAAUUAAAAUAACAUAAUUAAUAGUCGCUAGCAAGUGCAAAGCUCGAUGGUUGGUAUUCUGAGGUCUCAAAGUUAAAAUCCUAGUUGAUUCACAUUUCCAGUAAAAUUUAUUUUAAAAAAGAAAUAAACGAAGCGGGUAGAUCUCAAAAAAAAUUAAAAUUUUAAAAUUUUAAUUUAUAAAAAUCAGAUAUUUGUAUUAGUGGCAUUAUAUUUAUGUGACACUAAUAAAAAUUUAAAAUAAGUAUUUAAUCCAUUUUAGCGGCAUAUUCCUAAUGACACUAAUUGAUUUAUAUUGGCGGUAUUUAUAAUAAAUCUGCUAAUACGCUUUUAGCAACAUUAGUAUAGGCAGCAUUUGGUAUCAUAUGCUGCUAAAACUUUUAGCGCAUUUUUGAUUAUUCAGCAACAUAAAUAAAUGCCAUUAAUGAUUAAUUUUCUAGUAGUGACUACUUGGGAAGAAUAGAGAGAAUUAGAUGAAGAGUGGGAGAAUCAUGCACCCACUGAGAAGGACUUGAAGAAAUAAGGAGCUGUUGUAGCUUGAUACUAGAGCAAAUGCUGUAAGGACUGGAGAUUUUUGGCAUGUAAGCUAAACUCUCAGUUGACGAUUUUGUGUGUGUAAUUUUAAUUAUAAAAGGCACUGUGCAAGUUUCGGUGCGAAAUCCGAGUUAAAACGAAAAUCUAACGCGUUUCCAAGUUUCACUUAAAGUGAAUAGUAAGCUCGAUUUUCCGGAGAAGCCGCGGUGAGAAGUUGUGCUUUUGCUUCGUACCGGACUCUGUUCAUAGCAGUCCAAUAGCUCGUUUCGACUGGGUCAGCUAUUCUGGAACUAAUGCGGCUGACGGAUUAGUUCGACGCACCGGAUUUCGAGAAAAUCAAAAAAUACAUGUUUUACAUGUAUUUUAUGUGUGUGUUUUCUUCUAUUCGAAGAAAGUUGAUUUUGUCGUGAAUCCGUGGUCGAUCAGACCAAACAAAUCGUCGUAGCCUUGUUGUCUCCGUCGUGCUGAUCGCACUGGUGCAAUCCGUUCGAAAAUCUGACGGAACGGAUCUGCGGAGAUCCGCGCGUUGAUCGAGGAGAGGUCGUAGUGGCAAAAUGUAUUUUCGCGAAAGUCGCGAUAUUUUAUGUACCGUUUUGCGUGAGAUCGCACGUGGAGGGUCGUUCACUCGGGCGUUUUAGUCGUUCGUGAAGGGCUCGGAUUGAAAUUCCGGUGUUUGGUGUACCUUUUUGCUAUUGUACCUGUUAUAUGUAGUUUCUAGGGUUUUGUUCCCUAACCCUAACCCUAGCCAGCCCCCAGCUACCCUCACAGUCGCCCCCAGCCACCUUCACCCUUCCCCUGCCCUUGCUGCACCACCCCCGGCCGCCGCCGAGCCACCACUUCUCUCUUUCUCACAUCUCUUCCUCUCUCCCUCUCCUCCUCUCGGGUUGUGUGAAGGCCCGGGCUGCGCCUCCUGCAGACCCCUCCCUCGGUGUCACCCCGGCUCCGGCGAGCAUCCCCGCCGACCGCCGCCGUCGGCUGCGCCGGCCGCAGCCUGCCCAGCCGCCUGCAGCAGCCCAGGCCGAGCCGGGUUGGCAGCCACCUGUGGCGCCGCCACCGCCUGGGAACCCUCCGCCGACUUCUCCCGUCCCGGCCCCCUUUCCGCCGUCACCACCGCCCCGACGCGCCGCCGUCGCCGCCUCGCCAGCCGCAGCCGCCCAGCCCCGCUCUGCGCGAGGCAGCAGUGCGACGCCCCCCUGCGCCGCGCCGGCUUGGGUCCGCACCCGAGGCACUCUCCCGACCUCGUGCAGCCCGCCUCCCGCCGUCCCGGAGCUCCCCGGCGCCGCCGUGGCCGCAGCAACCCAUGAACCCGAGCCCGAUCUCGUGCGGGCUCGUUUGCUCUCGGGGCCGCCGCCGCCGCCGCCGCUUCCAGCCGCCACCUGAGGUGAGCACGGUACUCCUAACCUCCCCGCACCCGUCCUGCCGCCGCGCGCGCCCGCCGUGCCGCCGGAGGGCCGGCCGGAGCAAGGUUGCUCCGCCAGCCCAAAUAGGCUUAUUAGUGAUGAUUUGUGUUCUGAGCUUCCCGAGCUUCCGCCAUCUCUACGAAGGGAGCACGAUGAUCCUAGCAAGUUUCUGAUCAUCGUGCUCACCUUAUUUCUGUCGGGAGACUCCGUUCCGCUGUUUUCGCGAUGUCGCUCUCCGUUUCAGCCUUUUUGGCUGCGUUUUGAGUUUGCGCACGCUUAUCCGGCAAUCCGAGGCUGUCCUGACUCCGGAGUGAGCACGGUGAUCGUGGGUCAGUGCUGAUCACAGUGCUCACCUCACUUUGAUCAGAAAUGUCCGUUAGUUUCUGUUCGGCGCGAUCUUCCCUGACUGCGCGCUAUUGCUGAACCUUCGGCUUGCUCCCGUGCUUCCCAUAGCGAAGCCGCUGUGCUCGCGGAUCGUGAGCACGGACUCCGGUAAUCGAGACCUGUCAGUAACGUGUCUCUGGCGGACUUCGAAAGUCCUCGUUUGCGUGAACGAGCCGCUUGAAAAGCCUCAAUAUUACAUAAAAUACGAUAUUUUAUGUAAUUAGAGGGUCUUUUAAUGCAUUUUGUGCUUUGCGUGGCUACUGUGGCAAGUGUGUAGGAGUUUUUAUUGAUCGCUGGAUGAUUGUCCAUGUCCGUUAGCUUUCGCGGAAGUCGUAGGUCGAUUUCGGUGCGUUUUUCGGCGAAAUUCGCCGAAAGAUAUGCGUUUCGUUUCGGAUUCUUUCCGACGGUGUUUUGUUGCUUCGUUGUUUGUCGCUGAGCCUUGUGGGCUGUCACCAUCGUCAUUUUGUGGGUUCGAUGAUGAUAGGUGAGCGACGGAGUUCGGUGUCGAAAUAACACUUCCGGAACCCGAUCCGUACGAUUUAUCCGGCGAUGAUCGUAUUGUUGUGUGACCUUGUGUUCGCUGCCAAGCUAUCCAAAUUGGAAUGCUUUGGGCCAGCGGGUGACUCGUGGCACGAUUUGGUGAGUUUCGGGACACUUAGUGGCCCGACGCGUCCCGUGUGGUUUUCGGGACUUCCGGUAAGUUACGGGGAUCGUUUUGGGAAACCGAUUCGGGAUCCUGUGUAGGGUUUGUGAGUCCUCGUGCUUUGGGUUAGUAGUUUUGGAUACUGACUUGGUGGAUCUUCUUAGGUCCGGUAGACUUGUGCUACCCAUUGUCCCGACGCGACAGUGACAGGUGGGUGCUGUCGAGCUGGUAGUCCGGUGAGAGCGUUUCACUUCCUUCUCCUGUUUUUCUAUUCCUGUAUUUAGACUCUACAUGUCAGUGCUUGUUAUCGUUGGUUAUCGUACCCCUUGAUGCAUUGUAUAUUUGUGGAUAGACAUGUAGAGCAGGUUGCAUUUGUAUUUCAGUAUCUCUGUGGAACCUUGGUCCAGGCAACACAUCGACUCUCUUGUCGUGUGUUUCGAUCUGGUUGAUUCGAGGUUCCGCGUUGUACGCCCUAGCUUCUAUUCAGUUUGGCGUUGUACGCCCUACUUCUAUUCAGUUUGGCAUUGUACGCCCUAGCUUCUAUUCGGUUUGGCAUUGUACGCCCUCGUUGUUGCUUCGGCUAGGCACCGGCUUUAGCCGGGUUUUGUUUUGUUUGAGCAUACCAGCAUUGACUUAGUCACAGCACUUGGGGGUAUUCAUGACACCGAUCGGUUUGGCCACGAUCGGAGGUUGUACUUAUCGCGAUAGGUCUCCUGCGGGGCGGAUGGAUAGGUCGUGCAGUUAGUAGACAGUAGCGCUUGAGGUCUGCGGACCGAUACAGCAGGCACAGAAUUGGGUACAGUUUCUGGUUCAGUUACAUUGAGGCAUUCUUUGCAUUAUUUUCUAUACAGUAGCAGGUUUAUUUAUUGCUUCUAUUUUAUCUGUUGUAGCUACCUGUAUUCCUAUUUCAUUUCAGCUUACAGAUAUUAUAUUUGUUUAUCUAUCUCCUUUCGGUUCGGUGAUUACGACUGCCUUCGGGCUCUGUCGUACCCACUGAGAAAAACCAUGGUUCGGUCUCUCACCCCCCUUUUUCCGCCCAAGGUGACAGAGACGAGGAUUUGGAUUUGGGCUCGAUGAAGGACGAUCUAGUUAGACCGGCAGUAGCGUCCGUCACCCUGGUUAUUUCUUUCCCGCCUUUUAGUAGUCAGUUAAAUAAAUGGUUCAGUUAGAUGUUUGAAUGUUUGUAUUUCCGUUAUGCAUGAGAUUAUGGAUAUUUUAUAUUACAUAGAGAUUGGAGGUUUUCGUUCGGUGUUUUGGUUCUGUGAGAUUGGUUUUCUUGUAAGUUAUGGCAUCGUGGUUUUCUACCCCUCGAGGUAGCGGUUUUCAAAAUAAAGUUUCCGUGUGGGAAACAGUUUUAAAAAGUUUUCGAAUGGCUUUUAAAAUGAUUGAAUUAGAGUUUAAAAACAAAAGCUUCCGUGUGGGGAGCACUUUAAAUAGGAUGUGUGUUGAAUUGUGCAUUGCAUCAUCCAGCGCCUAAAGUUCUUAGAGGCAUGCAGGCAUUCUAAGAAUUGUUAGCUGUAUGAAAAUGCAUAUCAUACUUGGUGUUGUUUGGUAAAUGUAGGUUUGGUGUGAUCUGUUGUAUCGUUGGUACGCCGUGCAGAUACAAAGGAGACUCCUGUCCGAGUGGACAGAGGAACUUUGUAUUUUGGCGGAUCUGUACGCGCGUGGCCAGGUUGAUNNNNNNNNNNNNNNNNNNNNNNNNNUUGAAAAAAAAAAAAAAAAAAAUGGCACGUUUUCCGCAACUCUGUUUUAAAAAGACUUUUAAAAUCGGCCCCGGGGCGUGACAAAUGCUGGGGAGGAGAUUACAGCCCUUUCCUUGUUGUGUUGUAAGCUUACCAUUUCUCUUGAUACUAUGUCAAUUAGAAACAAAAAAAAAUGAGGGUGAAUUGCACAUUUGGUCCUCAAACUUUGACGCAUGCGAAGCUUUAUUUGAUAAACUUAAUUUUCACAAUGUUCUCUUAACUUUUUGAACUAUUUCAAUAAGUCCUACAGUCCAAUUUCGUUUGCCUACUGAUGUUUUAUAGAUGUGAUAGAAAUAUAGUCUAGCUCCUAAUAAUUGUCAUGCCAUCAAUUAUAAGAUUGCCACAUCACUACUAUAUUCAGGACAUUUCAUCAUUUAACCAAUUAGAUUGGACUUUCGGACUUUAUUGUAAUAGUUUCCAAAGUUUAAGUUAGAAGAACCAACAAUUAAAGUUUAAGGGUCAAAAUGUCCUGACUCAAAGUUUGAGGAGAAAAAGUACAAUUUAGCCAAAAACUUAUGUGAGUCACCACUCCUUUCUGAGUAGGGGUGAAAACAGUCGAAUACGAUCGGAAAUUUGACGAACCUAUAUUUUGCAUCCAAAUUUUUUCAGAUGAGAAUUCAAAUGUGGAUAUAUAUCGAAUGCUAAAUUUUUAUUAUUGUAACGACUCAGCUCACUAGCAACAAUAACUCGUUGGGCCCAACAACCGGCCCAAAAUCAAUGACAACCCCAUGCAUUCCCAUCCGAUGUGGGACUAUUGAGGUGUCACAGACUCCCCCCGUUAAGGCCCUGACGUCCUCGUCAGUCCAAUCACACACACAGCCCAAGAUCACCAGGCGAUGUGAGACUCGUCUCGCUAGCCCGUCAUCCAGACCCUGGCUCAGCCGAAACUCGCCACACAUGUCCAGCUGGUGAACCGGCUCUGAUACCAAAUGUAACGACCCAGCCCACUAGCAACAAUAACUCGUUGGGCCCAACAACCAACCCAAAAUGCUUAAGCCCAGUUAUUAUUACUAGUGUCUAAGUCUCUUAUAAACCCAAUGACAACCCCCAUUCCCAUCCGAUGUAGGACUAUUGGGGUGUCACAAUUACCAUAUCCGCUAAAAACGGAUUCGAAUAAGAUCAGCUAUUUCUUCGAAUUCGAAUAUUAUUCAGAUAGUUAUAUAUACUAAUACGCACAUAUGAAUAUGAACUAGAAUUAGCAAUAAUUAAUUAAAAGUUUACAUUCGUGUUCGAAUUUUUAAAUACCUAUAUUUUAUUGAAUAACAUCUAGAAUUUAACAAACAUAACUACAAUUUUGAUAUAAAACUCAUAAUAAAAUAAAUGAAAAACACAACAAACCGCGCGCUUUAUUCCCCCACAAUAUAUGUAAGUAUUAACAAACAGCGCGCUUUAUUCCCCCACAAUAUAUAUAAGUAUUAACUUCCCCUUAUCUCCCCACAAAAAGCUUUCAAACCCUAAUCAACAUUUCCAAUUCCAAAUUUAUAAUUAUAAUUUAAUCUUAAAUUUAAAUUUAAAUAAUUAUUAUUAACUUUUAAAAAAUAAUUUGAGGUCUCUCACAUACGAGAGCUAUCUACCAUCUAAGCUACGUACCUAUUUUUUAUUUUUUCAUAAUAUAAUAAUAUGAGUUAAUAACAUAUAUUAAUUUUCAGAUAUCGAUCCGAAUCCGAAUCUGAAUCCAAAUUAUUCAUAUCCGAAUGUGAAUUCUAAAAUAUUAUUAAUGAAAUAUUUAAAUUCGAAUUCGGCCGGGUGCAUAAUUUUGACAUCCGUGUUCGCAUCCAAUUAUAUUGAAUCCGAUCAGAAUUUAUCUUAACCACUUUCGCCCCUAUUUCUGAGUUGUAUUUACAAUAUUACAAUAUCUAUACUACUUAUAAAAGCGUGAGUUUUAAAUUUUUUUCUCUUUCCAAAAAUAUCUCUAUAUUUUUUACUAAUAUUUUCACGUCCAGUAAUUUUCAACCAUUCGUUUCAAAUAAAUCUUCAAAUAAUAAUUUAUUCUCAAAUAUAGAUCUUAAGUUUUUGCCAUUGGAUCUCAUUCAAUGAAUAAAAAUAAAAGCAUUUGUCAUUUUUGUUGAAAAAAAAUGCCCUCCAUAUCCGUUAUCUCCUAUCUACGCGUUUGUCAAAUAUUUUCUUUCUACUUGCCAAUCACGUAAUACAUAAAAUUAAAAAUUAAAUUUAUCUCAAAUCUAAUGUAACGACCUAGCCCACUAGCAAUAAUAACUUAUUGGGCCCAACCACCAGCCCAAAAUGCUUAAGCUCAGUUAUUAUUACUAGUGUCUAAAUCUCUUAUAUACCCAAUCACAUCUCCAUUCAUAUCCGAUAUGUUUCUCAAAUAUUUUCUUUCUAUUUGCCAAUCAUUAAAGCCCAUUAGCAAUAAUAACUCGUUGGGCCCAACCACCAGCCCAAAAUACUUAAGCUCAGUUAUUAUUACUAGUGUCUAAGUCUUGACAUAGUCUAUCAUCUUAUCUUUCAGACCCUGUCUCAGCCGAGACUCACCACAUACCACUAGAAAUAAUAACUUGUUGGGCCCAACCAACAGCCCAAAAUGCUUAAGCUCAGUUAUUAUUACUAAUGUCUAAAUCUCUUAUAUACUCAUAUACUCAAUCACAUCUCCAUUCAUUUCCGACAUGGAAUUAUUGGGGUGUGACAUCUAACGUAAUACCCACCCAUCAUAUAGUACGUAAAAUUAAAUUUAUCACCGAUCUAACUUAAUACUCGCCAAUCACGUAAUAUGCAAAAUUAAAUUUAUCUCAUAUCCACGUGUUUUCUUAAAUAUUUUCUUUCUCAAACGUAAUACUCACCAAUCAUGUAGUAUUCAAAAUUAAAUUUUAAAUUUGUAAUGCCCGCCAAAAUUUAAUAUCGCCAAUUUGAUAAUUUAAAUUUUAAUUCUUGAUAGUCGAUUUUCUUAUGUGAGAUAGUAAAUUUAAUUUUGGCAAGUAUUAAAAUUUGGCGCGCUAUAGAAGCAUUACAUAUUGCUAAAAAAAUUUUAAUACCCGCCCAAUCAAAACUAAAUCGUUAAUUAAAUAUAAUUAUAAAUAUUUUUAGCAAAAUAUUCAAUAUUUAACUAAUGUGCUAUAAAAGCGUAGAAUAUUUUUUUAAAAAAAUUAAUACCCGCCCAAUCAACAAUAUUUAAGUAAUAACUGUCAAAAUAUUCUACGCAUUUCUCAAAUAUAGAGCAUAUCUUAACACCCUCACAUAUAAUAUCUACAGUAUCCAAUCUUAUCUCAUCAUAAUACUUAUCACACACUACCUGUCAAAAUAUUUUACACGUUUCUCAAAUAUAGAGAACAUCUUAAUACCCUCACAUAUAAUAUCUACAGUAUCCAAUCUUAUGUAAUCAAACUUAUCACACAAUACCCUCACAUAUAAUAUCUACAGUAUCAAAUCUUAUCUAAUCAAACUUAUCACAUAAUACAUAGAGCAUAGAAACGUUACAUACUGCUAAAAAAAAUUAAUACCCGCACAAUCAAAAUUAAAUCGUUAAUUAAAUAUAAUUUUAAAUAUUUUUAGCAAAAUAUUUAAUAUUUAAGUAAUGUGCCAUAAAAGCGUAGAAUAUUUCUAAAAAAAAAUUAAAUACCCGUUCAAUCAAAACUAAAUCGUUAAUUAAAUAUAAUUUUGAAUUUUUUUAGCAAAAUAUUUAAUAUUUAAGUAAUACCCGUCAAAAUAAUCUAUGCGUUUAUCAAAUAUAGAGCAUAUCUUAAUACUCUCACAUAUAAUAUCUACAGUAUCCAAUCUUAUCUCAUUAUAAUACUUAUUACACAAUACCUAUCAAAAUAUUUUACACGUUUUUCAAAUAUAAAGCAUAUCUUAAUACUCUCACAUAUAAUAUCUACUGCAUCCAAUCUUAUCUAAUCAAACUUAUCACACUAUACAUAGAGCAUAUUUUUUUUGGUAGCAUAUUUUUUUUAGUAUUUUCUCAUUUUCAUCUAUACGUUUUUCAAAUAUAAAACAUAUAUUUUUUUCAGUAAUGUUCUUUUUCAUUUUCACUUAUAUUUUUCUCAAUUAUUCUCAAAUAUUUUUUUUUAAUAAUAUCUUUUCUCAUUUGUCCCCGUUGCCAGCAGGUACAUCGUCAUCGUCCUCCUCAUCGUCAUCAUCAUCAUCGGCGCCGGCACAUUGUCGCCUUCACCACCUUCGCCAUAAUUGGAAAGGCAUUUUGAUCCCUAUUUCUCUUUUUUUUUUAAUAUGCCUUUAUACUUUUUUAACAUAUCUUAUUUUAGCAUAUCUUAUUUUAGUAUUUUUCUCAUUUUUCACCUAUACGUUUCUUAAAUAUAAAGCAUAUAUUUUUUUAGUAAUAAUUUUUUUUUAUUUUCACCUAUAUUUUUUAAAUAUUCUCAAAUAUUUUGUUACAUACCUGACUCUACGCAACCGGUCGAUGAUGAUAAUUUGCUGAGACGAGGACGGCGUGGAGGAUGAUGGCCAAUCAAAUCGGUAUCUCGACAACUACCUGUGAUGCCCCAACUUCCCAGGGGGUCACCCAUCCUAGGACUACUCCCGUCCUAGCACGCUUAACUCUCUUAACCUCUUGGGCCUUGCAACCACCCAAAAUGCUUAAGCCGGGUUAAGAGUUUAACCCUAUUAUAUCUCAUAUAUAGGACUAUCUGGGAUCUCACAAUCUCCCAUCAUUUUAAGCCUUGACGUCUUCGUCAGGCUCAGACUCACAAGUACCAGGCGAUGUGAGACUCAUCUCGCUAGCCCGUCAUCCAAACCCUGGCUCAGCCGAGACUCAUCUCACACUUCCGGCUGGUAAUUGUCAUAAUAUUUCAAUCAUUCAUUUCUUUGCAUUCUUUACUAUCACUUGUGUCAUAUACACUACUAUAUUCUUGGACUCAUGCCACACUUGUUUUCUAAGUGUUCAACAUGCCAUAAGUGUUUCCACUAUACUAAUCAUAUGCCACUCGAUCUAAUAUAUAUAGAUUGUCCACGUCACAUAUCAUAGUUCAUACGUCAUUGUUUUCCAACGUCGAGUUUUCUAACCAUCCAAGAGUUAUAGACCCAAGUUCAACAUGCAUAUGUUAUUUAACAUAGUCCACAAUACACCAACGUGCAUAUAUAUAUCAACUCAUAUCUCAAGGUAUAUCAACAUGCAUACAUUUCCAUCUACUAUGUUCCACAAUAUGAUAAUAUGUCAUCAAGUAUGUUUUUCUAUUUAAUAUAAUCCACAAUAUGUUAAUUCAUAAUAUGUCAUCAUGCACAUAUACCACUAGCAUCACAUGAUAUGUCAAUAUAGAUAUAGUCAUUAUCCAAAAUAGUUCAUACUUAGAAUCUCAUGCAUUCUUUUAGCAUUUAAUUUACUAUGCAUCUCAUCUCAUUGGUAGGUAAUCUCAACUACAUAGUAUGUUUCAAGCAUUCAUAUCAUUAUGUAAGCCUACCAACACAACUAUAUGCAUCAAUUAGAAAACCAUUACUCUUAGACAUAUAGGCGACCUAGUCGCUUCGGUGAGCACAACCCACCAGCAUGCCAUGACAUGUAACAAUUGCCAACUAGUACCCUAUAAUGCAAUAUCCCAAUAUGCAACUUGAUCAAUGUUAACUAGAGUUUGUAGUACAACAACCAAUCCAUUACUAAGUUCAAGUCAUAUGUGUUUUUAGCACAAUAAGUUCAAUGCCACUUGUAAACUAUGUCUUUAAACACAACACUAGGUUCUUCUCUCAUUUAGCAUCAUAGGUUUACCAAUGUCCUCUCAUAAUCCUUAUGUCUAUUACAUCAUAUAUCCAUAUCAUAAUACCAUAUUGAUCAUAAACAUCAUAUAAGGAUUAGGAAUGCAUGUAUUGUCAUCCUAUAAUGCAAGGUAUCGAUAUACAAUAUGCUACAUGUGAAUGGAUAAGUACUAAGACAUAGGAAGAAGCCCGAUUGCUUCGGGAUGUCACUCCCCCACUUUAAGUCCUUGCUCGAGGUUGUGGUAGCUCCCCCUCGGGUGAUGUGCUCCGGAGUCGACAUCACUGGGUUGUAGCGGGUAUCUCCCCAGAGGACGGUCCCACCGGGUUGUAGCGGGUAUCUCCCCGGUUAAUGGGAUUUUGGGU